RNAcentral lists this long non-coding RNA (69579 nucleotides) under Vitis vinifera (wine grape). RNAcentral's name for it is "long non-coding RNA (VVIN_LNC001392)". The record is from RNAcentral. Lineage: Eukaryota; Viridiplantae; Streptophyta; Magnoliopsida; Vitales; Vitaceae.
AUAAUGUGGUGGCUUCUCUCCCUUAGGUGGCUUGCCAACUGGGGUUGGUGGCUUGUGUUCAGGAAGUGGUUUCUCUCCCAUGGGAGGUUUAGCAAUUGGGGUUGGUGGCUUGUGUUCUGGGAGUGGCUUCUCUCCCUUGGGAGGUUUAGUAGGUGACUUGUGUUCUGGAGGUGGCUUCUCCACCGGAGGCUUGUGCUCCGGUGGUGGCUUCUUGGUUGGAGGGGGCUUGGGGUAAUCAGCAAGAGAUGGGGUGGUGAGAACCACCAGUCCAAGGAACAACACUAGCAAGUAUGUGGGAGACAUUUUUGAGUUUGGGCUGAUCAGAUGAUGCAAAACUAAAGCAUUACGUGACCUUUUAUAGCAUGUAGCUCCCAAUACCCACUAAGUAUUGUGGGGUCCAUUUGUGCCCUACGGGGUUGAAAACUUAGACAAUUGGGCAAGGACCCACCUGACUAUGGAGGACUAGUGAGGUGUGAUCAUAGCUUUAGGAUUUUUCUUCCUCUGCAGCCGUCGUGCCGUUGGCAUGAUUUUCUUAAUCUUAAAUAAAGGCAUAGUUAUAGAGUUGUUUAAUCUCUAAAUGGGAUUUUAUAUAUAUCUUCAGAUAGCCAUUAAUAUAUUUGAUGAAGAAAGAAAGACAAGUGCAUACAACAUGUAUACGACUAGCUUUCAUGGAGUUCAUUUAUGAUCAGUUUUCCUGUACAUGUAAACCAGGAUCAUAUAUAUGUUUCUGUUCCACAACUAUUUUGGAAUCUUGUUUAUCAGUUUUUAUCAUUAUAAUGUCACAUAGGCUGCCAACUUGGGCGCUAAAAGAACCAGUUGGGCUAGUUCGUUUCAGAAUUUCAAUGUGGAUUCAGGAAUUGUUUUGUAAGAUAUGCGAAAUAGUAGAGGGAUGAAUAGUGUUUCAUUAAUAAAAGUGUCCUGUAAAUUAGAAGGUGUCAUAGAAACUAUAAUCAAUAAAUAACUUUUUUUCCCCACGGGUGGUGUUUCUUGUGGGGAUCAGUGACUGGUUUAGGUUCACCCAAAAUGAGUUCAGACUAAAAUUGGUUUGAGUCAAUGCCGUGUCUCUUUUUUCCAGAAAUCAACUAUUUUAUGCAUUGAAUAAAUCAUACAAAGAAAAUAUGAACGCCCGCAAAACCUAAACCCUGGUUGCUAACUUUCUAUGUUUCAGUUCUAUUCACGCAAGAAUAUUAGUUUAAGUUUGGGAAAAAUGGCAACUUACCUAGUGAUUACUUGGUUUUGGUUUGCGACUAUUUACGCAACCAACCAUGAGUUUGACUUUAACGUCAUGGGUUGAAGCCUCCUACAGGAAGGGAGAAAGCUCCACAGCUAGCUCCAAAAGAGAAUUAUCACAUUGAUAGCUCCAGAGAUUCCCAAGGGGACUGAAUCAAAGACAAGUUCCUCACUUUUUCUUCUUUUGAGGCCAAAUAUGAACCAAGGAUCACACAACCUCAUUCAACUUCAUAAGUUUGAUUUCAUGCAGUUGAACACUGGGUGAAGGCCAUGACAAGAAUUGAUUCAAAAAUUCUAUCACUCUUUUAAGUAAUGGAAGAUUAUUAUCUCUGAUUGGCAUCACAACAGCACAUGCUCCUAGAUCUUUCUAGACACUCCAUGCAAUGAAAGCACAAUGGAUCUUGUAACGAUAGAAACUAAGCCAUGCUACAGUACUAGAUGAUGAGGUAAAACUAGUAGACACGGGUGGCAGCCUAUAUGGGAGGGACACAAGUCUAAUUGAUUUGCAUUUCAGCAUUAUAGAUAGGUAUGUUUUGGAAGAUUUGUUCUGGAAAUACCGCACCAAGUAGGAUUCUUUUUCUCUUUAGUGGGUCCACUUGCAUGCCAAUUAACGAGUUGAAAAGUAUGAGCACCUACCUCGUGCUCGUGGAACCGAAGGUCAGUGAAGUGGGGCUCCUUUUGGCCUCGUGUAAACUUGAUUCAGAAGUGAAGUUAAUAGUCUUCCAUUCAGAUGGAUACAUGGGAAUUUUUCUCUUUUAUUUAUUUAUUUAUUUUUUUUUUGUGUGUGUAUGUCAAAGGAUAAUGAAUGAAGCGCGUUAGCUUGUUUUCUGACUGGAACCGCAGAUGUCCAAAUUGGAGUUCCUUCAUUUCUUACUUAGGAUUGUUACAUGUAUAAACAAGGUAUAAGAAAUAUGCCAACGUGUCUUGAGGAGUUAUUGAUUAGAAAUAACAAGUCACCCGACUGUAGAGUUCCAAGAUUUGAAUCUUCAGACCCUAUAGCAGCCUCUGGGGUACGUGGCAUCCUAUAGCAUAUUAAUGAAGGCUUUUUCGAUUUAGACUUCACAAUACCAAUUAAUAUGUAUGCACAAAAUGGAGAUGACCCCAAAAAAAACAGAAUCGCCAUAGUUUAUGAGGUUAAGGUGAUUCUCCACUUAAUAUCUACAUUAGCUAAUUAUGUAAAUCAAAUGAACUUCUAUUUUUCCUUUUUUUUUUUGGUUUAUGUCAAAUAGUAGCCCAUAAUUAACCCAACCAUUAGCCUGUUUGAAUUGAUUUCACAUGCACAAUGUUGUAGUAGUUCAUAUUUUGAAUUUUAUUUUUACAAAGGUAGUUAAGGAAAAUGAAGUAUAAUAAUUAUAAAAGCAGACUAUAUACACUACAAUAAUUGUUAGAAUGGUAUCUCAAAUUCUAAUUUAAAAUAUUAUUUUUUGUAAAAGAAAUAUUAUAUAGAAUAUUUCCUAAUUUUAUAAAUGAUUAUAAUUAGAUCUUUAUAAAAUAAGGAAAGUUGGUAAGAAUAUCUUUAUAAAUAUUUUAGGUCAUGAGAGAAAGAAAUGGGAUAAAAAUGUGAUGAAGAGGUGAAAUAAGAGAGUUGAUUAGGAUAUAGAUGUGAAGAAGAAAGGGAUUCAAUAUAUAUAUAUCUUUCAAUUACCACAUUAAAACCCUGUGAACCUUUUAUAUGGUUUACUUUAUUUUUAUAUUCCUCCUUUAAUAUAUUUACAUUAAUGCUUCCAUUGGCACAACAAUAACGAAUUACAAAUACAAGCAACAAGUCCCAUGUUUUAUUACCAAAAGCAGGUAAAAUCCACCUAAUAUAUUACAAUAUAUUCAUCCAAUAUUUUAGACCAAUUCUUCACCAUAAAUAUCAUAAUGUGGCUUUUGUUCUUUCUUAAAUUUAAAUUGAAUUGUCUUAUAUCAAUUUGUUUGUGAUUUUUUCAUUAACUUCACUUUCAUUUGGUUAUCUUUGGUUUUUGAAAAGUAUUAAGGAAUUAAUUAACAAAAUAAUGUUAAGAAAAAUAAUUUUCUCUCUUUUGAUUUUGAUUUUGUAGUAGAAAAAUAUAAUUAAAAUUAUUUAAAAAGUAUGUAAUUUUAAAUUAUUUAAUAUUUAGAUAAAAAAAAUAAGUCUAAUGAGUUUAAAAUAACAUAUAAAAAUAAUUUAUUUAUUUUAAAUUUAUUUUUUAUUUUCCAUUAUGUUCUCUUUCUCUUUUACUUUUUCAUAUUUUUUCUUACGAAGAAUCAAACACAACCUCAUAUUAUAUGUCAAGUGUUUGUCUAUAUUUGAGCAAUGUUAGAUACGGCCAUGGAUUCAUCAAACUAAACUGAUUUUAAUAGAUACUUCACAAAUUGAUUUAUACACUAAAUCAUUGGAUAGCAAUGAUGCAUUGGAAUUAAACGUAGGAUGAAGCUCGAAGAACACUGUUUGUGUAACAACAUAUUUAUGAAAUUAUGCAAAGGAUGAGCUUCGGGGUAGUAGUACAAGGUCAUUAAUGGAGAGCCGUGUUAAACCUUGAUUGUGAUUGGAUUCCGUUAUCAGCAACAGCAACCUUGUUUGUAACCUUGAAAGUCAUUCUGUCCACAUCGAAACUCCAAUUUGACGUUUGUAAUUACCAUUCCUGGAGUGUUCCUUGAUUGAAAUUUAAAUAAUAAUUGCGGCCCACAAGGAAUAUUUUCGAUUCUGUGGGAAUUUGACAAGGUUUGUUAGAGAAGACUGGUGACAUGUUGACUUCAAUGGUUCAAAUAGGAGACGUAUGUGGAUUUGGGGGGUUUAAUUGAAACUGAGUCCCUAUGGCUUUUUAAUAUUUGCAUUGAGCAGUCUCCAUGUGACUUCCUAAUUCCCACCAACCCUCCUGUCCAUGCUGUGAAACUAAAUUGUAAUUUAUCAGCCUUUGUCAAUGGUUUCUAAAUUAAAGAUAUAGACCAUGCAUGUACUUUAAUAAAAGCAAAUCUAAAGUGUAGAUAGCAGCAAUGGUGACACCCAAUAUUCUCCAUAAAAUAGAAUUAGAAUAAGCAGUGUUACAUUGUUCAUGAUCACCUACAAGCAUACAAGAACUUCCAUGAAUAACUCAUAGCAAUUGCCAACAGGGCGUCGUAGAGACUCAUACAUAGAACACUAUCCACCCAGAGGAAAGGACAAGACCAGUGCGCUGCAGCUCUUAUUUUUCACAUGUAUACCACCACUCGUAAUAACCAAAUUCACUCAGUUGGGAUAGGUGGGAGAUGGUGGUUUGUGGGGUGGCUUGUGGGGAGGAGUUGGAGGAGGCUUUAUUUUCUGAGGCGGCUUGUAUGAGUGUGCAGGAGGAUGCCCGGGAGUGUGACCAUAAUGUGGUGGCUUCUCUCCCGUAGGUGGUUUGCCAAAUGGGCUUGGUGGCUUCUCUCCCUUAGGAGGUUUACCAAUUGGGGUUGGUGGCUUGUGUUCUGGGAGUGGUUUCUCUCCCUUGGUAGGUUUGCCAAUUGGGGUUGGCGGCUUAUGUUCUGGGAGUGGCUUCUCUCCCUUGGGAGGUUUGCUAAUUGGGGUUGGCGGCUUAUGUUCUGGGGGCGGCUUCUCUCCCUUGGGAGGUUUGCCAAUUGGAGUUGGCGGCUUAUGUUCUGGGAGUGGCUUUUCUCCCUUGGGAGGCUUGCCAAUUGGGGUUGGCGGCUUAUGUUCUGGGGGUGGCUUCUCUCCUUUAGGAGGUUUGCCAAUUGGAGUCGGCGGCUUAUGUUCUGGAAGUGGCUUUUUUCCCUUGGGAGGUUUGCCAAUUGGGGUUGGCGGCUUAUGUUCUGGGGGUGGCUUCUCUCCCUUGGGAGGUUUGCCAAUUGGAGUCGGCGGCUUAUGUUCUGGGAGUGGCUUCUCUCCCUUGGGAGGUUUUGUUGGUGGCUUGUGUUCUGGAGAUGGCUUCUCCCCUGGAGGCUUGUGCUCCGGAGGUGGCUUCUGAAAUGGCGGGGGCUUGGGGUAAUGAGCAAGAGAUGGAGUACUGGUGAGAACCACCAUUCCAAGCAACAAUACUAGCAAGCAUGUGGGAGACAUCUUUGAGUAGUUGUAGCUAAGAUGGCGCAACACUGUAGGCAUUGGGUGGCCUUUUAUAAAGGGCUGGACCCAACAGCCAUAUGACACGUGUCAUGAUGACAAAUGAAGUUGAGGGGAUCCAGAUGGGUCCUACUGAGUCGAAAACUUGCACUAAUUGAUCUGGUGAGAUGACUAUUUCUGUCCUUUUGCCCUUCUCGGCCACCCUGUGCUGUUUUCCUUUUGCACGAUUUUCGUUGCCAAACAAGCAAAUAAUAUUUCGCCAAGAAAGAGGAGAGUGAAUGUGGAAUGCAUCAAGUCCCAUCAAGGAUGGCAGAGAAGAAAUAGAAGAUUGCCCAACUGUGAUAAACAUAGCAUACACGUAGCACCAGGAACUUCAUUUACUUCCAUCUAAUGGAACAUAACAAUCUUCUAAAGUUUUUGCAUGAUUUUGUUAUAUGUCUCUUAGCCUAAAGUUGGAAAUGCGCAACAAAUUUUGUCACUUCUCUAUUUCCCACUGAUGAUGUUAAUUAGCCUUCAUAGAUAUCAUCCUUUCUACAAAGUGCUUCAUUUGUGUGUUAUUGUAAAGUGUAAGAAAAGUAAUUGAACAUGUUCUUUUUCCUUUCAUAGAUGACUUUUGAUGUGCAUUUUAAAAGCAGCGCUGUGAGUCGGUGACCUUGAUUCACACGGAAACUAAGGCUCCUAUAGGACCCACUUUUAGCUGGUUAGGGGUGAAGAAAAUAUCAACUUUUCAGAGUGAUUUAAGUCAAGGCCAAGCCUCACUGUGUCAUUACUCGUGUGAAUUUUAUAUGCACAUACAUACAUAAAUAAAGUAUGAGACCCAAAUAACACCUUCCCUUUACAAACUUAACCCCAGCCGCUCUCUUUCAAUUCUUUUCACACAAGGGUAUUGACUCUAUAAAGGUCAAGAAAAUCAUAAUUUCCUAGGGUUUACAAGGUAAUUGGCUUAAUGCUAAUGUGAAAACAUAAAAGAUAAUAGUAUAUUGUAAGCUAACGAAUAUUCUAUAGUUAUAAUUAUUUGUGAUGUGCAUAAAUAAAUCUUCAUAUAUAUAAUGGAACAAUGAAUAAAGAACCAAUGAAAAAAUACUAUAUAUCAUUGCUUGGCAUUUAAACCGUAUAUGCUGCUCUUUCUAGCUACUCCAUCCACUGAAAGACAACAAGGUAAUCCAUGUUAUAAUGAUAGAAGAUACUGUCUCUAGGCUUUUUGUGAUGAAAAAUAUAAGAUAUGGGUAGGGUUGACCCUUGUAUGUUUGUCCUAUAAACACUUCAAAGUAACAUAUUUUUCUUCUUUAGCAACUCAUAAUGAUGGGGUUCAUUUGCAUGUCACUGAGUUGAAAAGUUGGACAAUUGCCCAUGUCGCCUUCCUCCUAGAUUCCGUAGUUCACGGGAAGGUAACUCAAGUUUGACAUAUUUUGAAUUCUUUUCACUCGGACGUCUUCAUAACCUGACAAAACAAAAAUGAAAAACAGAGGAUUGGUAUAUUAUUCAUGGUAAGCCUCAAAUUAUAGUAGUAUGAGAAAGGAGAAAAAGAUUUUGGGAACUCCAAUCUGGAUAAUUCUCGUUUCUUCUCUUGAAUAAAAAUUUCACUUACCUAACUUCGUUUGGAGAAAUGGCAUAUUUUAAUUUUGUACGUCAUUGCUAAUAAAUGGAGCAAUUUAGCAUGUUUUGUGACUGAAACUGCAAAUGUCCAAUUGGCAUUUCUUCAUUUCCCACUUAGGAUCUGAUCUUGUAGACCAUAUAACGAUAUGUAUCUGUGCAAGCAUUGAAAACUAAUGUGAACUAUGAGGAGUUACAAGCCACUGGACUGUAGAGCGAGUGCCAAGAUUUAAAUCUUCAGGCUCUAUCUGGGUAAGGGGAGGAUAGCGACCUAACCUUUUACCAAAGGCUUAGAAUUUAGACUUUUGGAAAAAAAUUUCUCAUGUUUUGGCUGGAUUUCUUGUGCUUGGCGCAAAAAGGAGAUGGCCUCAAGAAAUAGCAGACUCACUUUUGUUUUCAGCCCUUAAUAAUUCUCCACUGCUUUCCAUAACUACAUGGGUUAUACAUGCAGUCUGCUGCAAUAUUCCAGUUAUAUUUAUUAUUUCAAAGAGGGUGAAUGACUUCACAUGCAAUAUGUUGCAGUAACAACCCAAAUUUUGGCACACCAUCUUAAGAAUAGAAAAGUAUAAUAAAAGAAAUCAAUCAGAGAAUCACUUUGCAUGCAGUUCAUAGAGUUCGCCCAAAAUGGAGCCACAUGUACGGACAACCCCACAAUAGACAAUCUUCUCUAUACAGUAAUAAAAUACAGAAAUGGUUAAUGAAGCUCUGUAUUUCCUUAUCAUAUAUGACCGGUUGAAAACUCAGCAAGUCUUCCUCAAUCACAGACAGUUGGAGUUGCUUCAUCAAAAUCAUGCCUUCAUUACUGGCUUCAUUUUGGUUUCAAUGUCUGUUCUACCCUUAAAUUGGGUCUCUGCUUACUACCGGGAUAUCCUUUAGCGUCCUGCAAUUCUACUAGAUUAAAGAGAAUGACUUAAUUCUGCAUUCUGCCGUCCCUAGUCCAAGUGGUACUAGAAUUGAUGUUUCCUUUAGUGUCCUUUCUUCAUACUUUCAGGUUCUUCCCUUGUUUCAAUAAUGCUGUUUUCCUUCAUGUUUAACCUCUGUUGAACCACUUAAAACAACACAAUUUGCACACCAAUGUUUCUUUACAGAAAAGACUGUUUGCAAAAAUGCACAUGUUAUAAGGUUAAUGGAAGAAUUAAUUUGGGGAUAAGGGACUAGGAUUGGGCCAAUGAAGUUUGGUGUUAAAUUUUGAUUAUGAUUGCUUUUCAUUAUCAGGUACCUUAUAUUUGCUGAUGCUAUCUGGAACUAAAUUCAAAUCAGACAUUAUCCGAUUACUAACAGGACAUAUCAUGUCCCUCUGCAGAGUUUCUAAACUAACAUGUAUCGAAAUGUGGCCCCAAAAGGAAGGCUAGGAAGAUGGAGGAUUUUGUAGGAAUCGACCAGAAUCAGAUGGAAGAGAGAUAGUCCUGUUGACUUUAAUGGUUGUGAUAGGAACAUGCAUCAUUAUAUGAGAAGUUGCAUGAAUUUAUGUAUCCUGUUAUCGUUCCUUGACGAUUUCCCAAUGCAAUUUCACUGUCCACAAGACUAACCUCUCCAUGCAGUCAAAUGAAUUGUAAUUUCUCUAUUGGUACCAGUAGUACAUUUCAUACCAAACAUAUAGUAAAUAUAAAAUAUAAAUAGAUCAAGGAAAUCUGAAUUGUAGAUAGCACUGCAAGUAACACUCAAUAUUCUCUAUAUAUAAUAAAAUAAACAGUGUCACAAUACUCAUCACCCAGUGGCAAGGGAGAAAAACCUACAAUGAGUACUCAAAUCACCAUUCUCAAACAGAAACAUAGCAGUGACUGAUACAUAGAACCUAUAUGCUCACAGGGAAAGAAUAAGAUGACCAGUGCACAGCGGGCAGCAGCUCUUAUUUUACGUACAACUCAAAUCCCAAACUAACCAAAGUCGCUCAGUUGGGAUGGGUGGGAGAUGGUGGUUUGUGGGAUGGCUUCUGGGUAGGAGCUGGUGGCUUCUGUCCCUUUGGUGGUUUGCCUAAUGAGCUUGGUGGCUUGUGCUCCGGGAGUUGUUUCUCUCCCUCGAGUAGGUUUCGAGUCUUGUCAGAUGGCUUGUGUUCUGGUGGUGGCUUCUCUCCCUGGGGUGGUUUGCCGAAUGGGCUUGGUGGCUUGUGUUCGGGGAGUGGCUUCUCUCCCUGGAGAAGGUUACGAGUUUUGUCAUAUGGCUUUUGUUCUGGUGGUGGCUUCUCUCCCUGGGGUGGUUUGCCGAAUGGGCUUGGUGGCUUGUGUUCGGGGAGUGGCUUCUCUCCCUGGAGAAGGUUACGAGUUUUGUCAGAUGGCUUGUGUUCUGGUGGUGGCUUCUCUCCCUGGGGUGGUUUGCCGAAUGGGCUUGGUGGCUUGUGUUCGGGGAGUGGCUUCUCUCCCUGGAGAAGGUUACGAGUUUUGUCAGAUGGCUUUUGUUCUGGUGGCGGCUUCUCUCCCUGGGGUGGUUUGCCAAAUGGGCUUGGUGGCUUGUGUUCGGGAACUGGCUUCUCUCCCUUGGGAGGUUCAGUUGGUGGCUGCUGUUCCGUAGGUGGUUUCUUCACCGGCGGCUUGUGCUCCGGAAGCGGCUUCUCUACCUGGAGAAGCUUACGAGUUUUGUCCGAUGGCUUGUGUUGUGGUGGUGGCUUCUCUCCCUGGGGUGGUUUGCCAAAUGGAGUUGGUGGCUUGUGUUCGGGGAGUGGCUUCUCUCCAUUGGGAGGUUUAGUUGGUGAUUGGUGUUCCGUAGGUGGUUUCUGAAGUGGGGGAUGCUUGGGGUAGUCAGCAAGAGACGAGGUAGUGAGAACCACCAGUCCCAGCAGCAACACUAGCAAGCAUGUGGAAGACAUCUUUGAGUUCAGGCUGAGAUCUGUGCAAGGAUAACAGAAUUAGGUGGCCUUUUAUAGAGGCCUGGACCCAACACCCAUAUGACACGUGUCAUGCACUCAUGGUGACACAUAAUUCUAUGGGACCAUUUGGGUCCUACAGAAGUUGCAAAGUUGGACUACUGAGGUGUGAUCACAACUUUUGUCCUUAUUGCUUUCUCUGCGGCCAUUGCACGAUUUCCUUUAGCAUCAUUUUCUUGGCUAAAUAAGCGUAUUAUAUUUGUGGCAGACCGUCCACGUGUCAUAAACAGAUAUAUUAUAAUAAUGUAGUAUGCUUUUCUCCAAUGGAACAUGACACUCUUCUAAGUCUUGUUUUAAAUAUUGUGCAGGAUUACUUUAUACGUUGCAGUUCCAAGUCAAAAUUGGUGGGCAAACGUUGGCCUUUUUUCAUUUCACCUAAGAUUAAUGCUCACCUGGGAUAGGCACUACAUGACUUAUCUGCUCUUUUACUGUAAAGUUGCUUUGUGUAUGAGAUACACCUCCCCUGCACACCCUCAACAUUCGUUGCUCUGUUUUCCUUGUGUCCAGACGAGGAUAUUAAUUGGAGGCUGACAAAACGACUGCUAGCCCAGGAUUUACAAGGUCCUGGUUUGAGGCUUCGGUGAAAGUAUUUUUGAAAAGACACACAUAGAGAUAGUGCGUUUGGUGCAAUGCAGCACUGUGAGCCAUUCUGACGCGUUCUUAAUUUCAAAACUAAUGAAUGCUUCAAAAUUUUAAGAAGUGACAUUUCCAAAUAUUUGAGUUCGUUUAAUUGAACAUUGGAUAACUAGUGAUCAUAGAUUAUUAUCUGUGCUUGGCACUAUAAGAGGGUAUAUGCUUCUUUUUCUGGCCCCUCCUUCAAGGGAGGAGGGACAAUGUGAUCUGUAACGUUAGAAGCUAUUCCAUGUCAUCUUUGGGCUCAGUUCAAAACUAAAAGAUAAUGGGGGGGGGGGGGGGGGGCAUAUCAUUUUAUAUUUCUUCUAGAAGGUUUGUUCUGGAAAUAUUUCACAGGAGCAUAUCUUUUUCUUCUAUUACGUCAUCCGCAGCCUCCAAUAGGUCGGUUAACAAGCCACCGAGUUGAAAAGUUGGAAAAAUGGGAACACAGCCCGCCUCUUGUAUUCAGUAGUUAAAUAAAAGGUCACUAGAAGUGAGAUCCCUUUUGGCGUCUUGAUUUUCAAUCCAGCACCUCUGUGACCUGACAAACCAAAAAAACUAAAAAAUAAAAAACAGUACGUGGGUUGGUGUUAAGCAUCAAGACAUGUUAAUGAAAGAAGGUAGAGAAUAGGAUAUUGAAAUCCCAAUCCUGAUAACAUGAUUUUCUUUGCUAACAACCAUAUUAUAUUUUAUCAAGAAAGAGUAAUGCAUGUGGCGUCCAUCAAGACCCAUUAGAGUUCCGCUAAAGCUAUAGUUCUGUCAACGUUAUCAUUUACGUUUCCUCUAGAUAAUGGCAUUUUCCUCUAAAGCUCUUGCACCAUUAGGCUUCAAGUCAAAAUUUCACAUGUGAACUUUGGAAAUUUUCUCCAUUUGCCCCUAAGGAUACAGUUAGAAUUGACUUAAAAUCCUGAUUGAUAUGUACUAUUAACCAAAGAAUAUUGUAUAUAAUAAUUGAAAUAUUGUUGAUUCAUCGUGGAAAUACAUUUUGUAAGGAAAGUUGUUGAGAAUUUAGUAUGCUAUAUGGAGAAAAAAGUCAUGACUUAAGGUUGUGUAUGUAUAUUCUAUAUCAAAUAUUAGGUAGGAAUGUGGGAAAGAGCAGAGUGUAAUGAUAAGAAACAAAGAAAUAUAAGAUAUUCUUGAAAGUGGAAAAUAUAAAAUGGCUAACGAGUCAAAUUUAUGAUGCGUAAGGGGGAUCAUGUCACAUAAGAAAACCAUGGCAUACUAAAGACGUACGUGUGGUAUGGAGUAAUAAUUUUGUUAAAAUAAGUUUCUUGUUGGAGUACAUUAGGUGACUAUUCAUAACGUAUCAAAUUAAAGAGUCAAGUGCAUCAAUGAAGGCAUAUGUAGAAAAUUUGUUUGUGACAUGUACCAUAAAGAUAAGAUUGACUUGAUAGAAUUUAGUCUAAGUAGGAGUUGUUAAAGGUGUCUUAAAUUUCUAAUUGAUGUAUAUUUUUUUCUAAAAAAAUAUUAUAUAGAUAUUUUAAUAAAUGAUUAAUUCUUUGUAAAAAUACUUACAUAAUAAAAAACAUCAUUAAAAAUAUCUUUAUAAAUAUUUUAAGUUACAAGAAGGAAAAAAACCACUGUGAGAUAAUGAUGAACAUGCAACACUGUACCAAGUAAAUAAAAAUGUGAUAAAAAAAAAAGAGAAACACUCGAUAAAGGAAGGCUCGUAUAUAAAGAGUAAUAUUUUUAAUCAUAUGAUAGAAUGAUUUUCUCUCAUUCAUGAAUAUAGGCAAGAUUGGGGAACCAUUAUAAAAUUUUGUACACCUCGUGUAAAUUGAUGUUUGUCUUCAUAUUUUACACCAACAAAUGACAUUGAAGUUGUCAUUGAUAAAAGGGAAAAGGCAUGCCUCCACACCAUGUGCUUGAUUCGAAUGGUUCAAGUUUGAAGAAUUUUCUCCGGAAGAUCUAAAACAUUUUCGCCUUUAAAUUUCAUUUGAUUAUUAAUAUCCGAAAAAAUAGUUAAAUACUCUUUCUAUUUUUGAGUUGUUGAAUUUUUUGAAAGUUUUUAUAUUUGUUAUCAAGAAUUUCUAUUUUAUUAAGGGUGAAUAUUUAUAAAUAAGAUAUUAUAUAAUAUUUGGAUAAGAGAGAAUGGUGGAAUAUAAUAAAGUUUUAAUCCUUCCCAAUUUUGAACCUUUUUUUUUUUUUUUGAUAUAAUCGCCUUUCUCUUGCAAUCCUAUUAUCAGGUACCUUAUAUUUGCUGAUGCUAUCUGGAACUAAAUUCCAAUCAGGCAUUGUCCAAUUACUAAUAGGACAGAUCAUAUCUCUCUGUUUCUAAACUAACAUGUAUCGUAAUGUGACCUCAUAAGGAAGGCUAGGAAGAUGGAGGAUUUUGUGGGAAGCGACCAGAAUCAGAUGGAAGAGAGAUAGCCCUGUUGACCUAAUGGCUGUAAUAGGAGAAGCGUGUGGUUUUAUGGGACUUAACUGAUACUAAACCUGUAUGAUGCUUGGAGUGGUGUUUCUUUCAUUUUGUUAAGAAAAUAUGGCAGCAUACAUGCUUUCAACUGAGUGCAUCAGAGCAUCCAUAACAGAUGGUCUGCAACCCUAGGUGCAUGCCACUUUCUGACUGAUAAUGAAAUUGUCAGGUACCUGGCCUUGACUAAGCUCAACAGCAUCACAUAAAGAGAAGCUUUCAUACUUAGAUUACUGUUUAAAGUUUUUGCUUAUUUGAUUUCUUAAUGCCAUUAUGACAUUAUUGAUUCAAUUCUGCUUCCGAUUUUCGAAGUUCUGGGCAUCUACUGAUUGCAUCAUUAUAUGAGAAGUUGCAUGAGUUUAUGUAUCCUGUUAUUGUUCCUUUGCGAUUUCACUGCUCACGGGACUAACCUCUCCAUUCAGUCGAAAUGAAUUGUAAUUUCUUUACUGGUAGCAGUAGUACUUUUCAUAGCAAAGAUAAUAGAAAAUAUGAAAUAUAAAUAGAAGGAAAUCUGGAUUGUAGAUAGCACCAUAAGUAACACUCAAUAUUCACUACAUAAUAAAUAGACAGUGUUACAUAGGUAGAGAAACCUACAAUGAGUACUCAUCACCAUUCUCAAACAGAAACAUAGCAGCGACUUAUACAUAGAACCUAUAGGCUCGCAGGGAAAGAGUAACAUGAUAAGUUCACAGCGGGUAGCAGCUCUUAUUUUACGUAUUACUCAAAAUCUCAAACUAACCAAAGUCACUCAGUUGGGAUGGGUAGGAGAUGGUGGUUUGUGGGGUGGCUUCUGGGUAGGAGCUGGUGGCUUCUUUGUUGGAGUUGAAGGAGGCAUAUUCUUCUGAGGUGGCUUGUAUGACUCUUCGGCACUCUCUGCAGGAGGGUGCCCAGGGUUGUGACCAGAAGGAGGUGGCUUCUGUCCCUUUGGUGGUUUGCCUAAUGGGCUUGGUGGCUUGUGCUCCGGGAGUUGUUUCUCUCCCUCGAGUAGGUUUCGAGUUUUGUCAGAUGGCUUGUGUUCUGGUGGUGGCUUCUCUCCCUGGGGUGGUUUGCCGAAUGGGCUUGGUGGCUUGUGUUCGGGGAGUGGCUUCUCUCCCUGGAGAAGGUUACGAGUUUUGUCAGAUGGCUUUUGUUCUGGUGGCGGCUUCUCUCCCUGGGGUGGUUUGCCAAAUGGGCUUGGUGGCUUGUGUUCGGGAACUGGCUUCUCUCCCUUGGGAGGUUCAUUUGGUGGCUGGUGUUCCGUAGGUGGUUCCUUCACCGGCGGCUUGUGCUCCGGAAGCGGCUUCUCUACCUGGAGAAGCUUACGAGUUUUGUCAGAUGGCUUGUGUUGUGGUGGUGGCUUCUCUCCCGGGGGUGGUUUGCCAAAUGGACUUGGUGGCUUGUGUUCGGGGAGUGGCUUCUCUCCAUGGGGAGGUUUAGUUGGUGGUUGGUGUUGCGUAGGUGGUUUCUGAAGUGGGGGAUGCUUGGGGUAGUCAGCAAUAGACGAGGUAGUGAGAACCACCAGUCCCAACAGCAACACUAGCAAGGAUGUUGAAGACAUCUUUGAGUUCAGGCUGAGAUCUGUGCAAGGAUAAAAGAUUUAGGUGGCCUUUUAUAGAGGGCUGGACCCAACACCCAUAUGACACGUGUCAUGCACUCAUGGUGACACAUAAUUCUAUGGGACCAUUUGGGUCCUACAGAAGUUGCAAAGUUGGACUAUUGAGGUGUGAUCACAACUUUUGUCCUACUUGCUUUCUCUGCGGCCAUUGCACGAUUUCCUUUAGCAUCAUUUUCUUGUCUAAAUAAGCGUAUUAUAUUUGUGGCAGACCGUCCACGUGUCAUAAACAGAUAUAUUAUAAUAAUGUAGUAUGCUUUUCUUCAACGGAACUUGACACUCUUCUAAGUCUUGUUUUAAAUACUGUGCAGGAUUACGUCAUAAGUUGCUUGUUCCAAGUCAAAAUUGGUGGGCAAACGUUGGCCUUUUUUCAUUUUCCCUAAUAUUAAUGCUCACCUGGGAUAGGCACUACAUGAUUUAUCUGCUCUUUUACUGUGAAGUUGCUUUGUGCAUGAGUUACACCUCCCCUGCACACCCUCAACAUUUGUUGCUCUGUUUUUCUUGUGUCCAGACGAGGAUAUUAAUUGGAGGCUGACAAAACGACUGCUAGCCAAGGAUUUACAAGGUCCUGGUUUGAGGCUUUCACGAAAGUAUUUUUGAAAAGAUACACAUAGAGAUUGCGCGUUCGGUGCAAUGCAACAAUGUGAGCCAUUCUGAAGUCUUAAAUUUCAGAUUAAUGAAUGCUACAAAAUUCUAAGAAGGGCCGUUUCCAAAUAUUUGAGUUCAUUCAUCCGAACAUCGGGUAUAUGCUUCUUUCUCUAGCCCCUCCUUGAAGGGAGGAGGGACAAUGUGAUCUGUAUCGUUAGAAGCUAUUCCAUGUCGUCAUCUUUGGGCUCAGUUCAAUACUAAAAGAUAUGGGCGGGGCCCUUAUCAUUUUAUAUUUCUUCUAGAAGGUUUAUUCUGGAAAUCUUUCACAGAAACAUAUCUUUUUCUUCUCUACGUGAUCCGUGGUUUGAAAGUUGGAAAAAUGGGUCCGUUAACAAGCCACCGAGUUGAAAAGUUGGAAAAAUGGCAACACCGCCAACCUCUUGUAUUCGAUAGUUAAAUAAAAGGUCACUGGAAGUGAGAUCCCUUUUGGCCUCUUGAUUUUCAUUCCAGCAUCUCUAUGGCCUGAUAAAUUAAAAAACUAAAAAAAAAGACAGUACGUGGGUUGGUGUUAAGCAUCAAGAGUCAAGACAUGAUAAUGGAGAGAAAGGAUAUUCAAAUUCCAGUUCUGACAACAUGAUUUUCUUUGCUGAACUACCAUAUUAUAUUUGAUCAAGAAAGAGUAGUGCAUGUGGCCAGGAUCAAGACAUACAUUAAUUUCCACAUGAUGAAGACAGUUUCUGAGAGUUUCUUCUAAAGCUCUUGCGCGAGUAGGCUUCAAGUCAAAAUCUCCCAUGUAAACACUGGUUUUUCUUUCAUUGCCACUAAGGAUGCAGUUAAUAUUGACUUAAGAUCCUACGUGAUAUAUUUUUUUAAAAGAGCUAUAUUGUAGAUAAUAUUUGAAAUAAUGUUGAUUCGUUGUGGAAAUAUAUUUGUAAGGAAAGUUGUUGACAAUUUAAUAUAGUAUAAGAAGAAAAAAGUUAUCAACUAGCUAGAGAUGAGUAUGUAAAGUGAGGCUCACGAUUCAACGCGUAAAUAUAAGAUAUUUUAAGGCUCAAUAGUUAUGAUAUCUAUUUUAUUUUUUGUAUCUCAUAUAUUCAAAGAUAUAGUAAAAUGAUUUUACAUAUAUAUAUAUAUAUAUAUAUGAACAUAACUAUUUGUGCCAAUUGAUUUUUAUCUUUAUUUUGUAUAUUAGUAAUUAUAUUAAAGUUUUUACUAAUAUAAUAACUAAUAUAAAAGCUUUUUCUAAAAGAGUCAACAGAGCAAAACACUUAUUAUAAAAAAUAAUUUUGAUUGAAGGUGGAGUCAAUUAUUCUUUAUUUAACAUGUAAUGCAUACGGCGUGUACUUCAUAACUAAAGUAUAUAAGUGUAACAUCUCUUAUAUAUUCUCAUUCAAUCUCGAAAGUGGAAAUUUUAAAAAGAUUAAACGGUUCAAAUUUGUCGUGCAUAAAGGGGAUCAUGUCACAUAAGCAAACCAUGGCAUACCAAAGACAUAGGUAUGGACUAAGAAUUUUUUUCAAAUAAGUUUCUUAUUAGGGUACAUUAAUAGGUGACUUUUUAUGACAUAUCAAAGGAGUCAAGUGCACCAAUAAAAACAUAUAUAGAAAAUUCAUGCAUGACAUGUAUCACUAAGAGAAGAUUGACUUGAUAGAGUUUAAUCCAAAUAGGAGAUUGUUAAAAGGUGUCUCAAAUUCUUGAUUGAUAUAUAUUUUUUUUAUUAAAAAGGUUAUUAUAUAGAUAUUUCAAUAGACUAUUAAUUCUUUGUAAAAAUAGUUAUAUAAUGAGGAUGGUGAUUAAAAAUAUCUCUAUCAAUAUUUUGGAUUAUAAAAAGAAAAAAAAUGAGAUAAUGAUAAACAUAUAAAACUUGUACAAGUAGAUAAAGAUGUGAUGAAAGACACUUGAUGAAUGAAGGCUUUGUAUUUCAAGAUAUAAAUAUAUGGAGCAAAACUCUUAAUUAUAUGAUCAAAUGAUUCUCUCAUAUUCAUGAAUAUAAGCAGGAUUGGGGAACCAUGAUAGAAUCUUAUAUGCCUCUCCAUGUAGAGUGAUCGAUGUUUAUCUUCAUAUUUUACACCAGUGAAUGACAUUGAAACUCUUAUUGAUAAAAGGGAAAAGGCAUGGCCUCCACCCCAAGAAAAACAAGUAACCUCGGUUUAAAUCACUAGUCUACACCCCGAAGAGAGAACUAGCCAAACCUACUAAAAGAGAAACUUAACAAUUUAGAAAGAAACCGUCCAUGAUAAAGGGCCCCUAAAGGUCCAAUUCAGUGAGGUCGUGAACAAAAACACUUUCAUGUCAAAACAGAGAUAGGUACCACCAAAAUGUAAAGGGAAAGAUGUAAACCACGUCGAACUUUGGUAAUCAAUGGUAAAGAUAGCAUGAUAGCUAAAAGCACUAAAGCUGUGCUUGGUAUGCAAAAAUGAAAAGUGGAAAUCAGCGUCUUAUUCUUUUUCACCUUUAUUCACAUAUUAGGAUAACUAAUAUCUAAUGUUUUUUAUGUCUCAAAUUCUAUUCCAUGUUAUGGUAAACUUUCAUCUUGUUUAGAUCACUUUUGUCUGGUUUGGGCUCAAGACGAUAAGCCUAUAGAGACUUCAUAUUGGGUUGAAUCGAUGCCCUUGAUCUGAUCUGUUCGUUAGAAAAAUCUGAAUUAUUAUAAGCAUUUAGAUAAAAAAUAAAUAAAUGUGAAACACAAACUACUCCCUGCACAACCUUGACCCUAGUUACUCAGUUUCACUGCUCACAGGACUAACCUCUCCAUUCAGUCGAAAUGAAUUGUAACAAGAAGAUUUUUGACAGGAGGACGGUAGUUUAAAAUAAUAAUUUCUAAAGUACUUUUGUGAAAAAAAAUAAUUCCAAACGUGGAUUUUAUCAAGUAAAAAGAAAAAAAAAAGUUAUUUUCUUUUAAAAUCUGUUCUUCUAAAGAUGAUAUAUAUACCAAAAAAAAAAAUUGUUUUCUGAAGGUAAAAUUUUUAAAAUUCAUUUUUAAAAAAAUUUACACACUAAAAUUAUCUUUUCAAGAGAAGAUUUUUUUAAUUUUAAAUAAUUAUUAAUUUAUAAUUAAUUUGUUAUUAAUUAUUUAUUAAUUUUUUUAUUUGAAAAAUGCAUUUAUAAAAAACAAAUUUGUUAUUAAUUUAUUAAAUAAUUUUUACAAAAUAAAUAAUUUUUUUUUAUUUUAAUUUUAAAAUUAAUUUUAUUAUAUAAAUUUUAAAAUUAAAAAUAUUAAUAUUUAAUUUAAAAUUUAACUAUAAAAGGAAUAAAAUAUAGAAAAAUAAAUUAAUUUAUUAUUCAAUAAAUUAAUUUUCAAUAAAAUUUUCAGCAUUAAGAGAUAAAUUUUUAAGUAUUAAUCAAUUUAAAAAGAAAUAAUGAUCAUUUGUAUAUUAAGAUAUUUUAUUUAGUAAUUAUGAAUGAUAAACAACUAAAGUAAUUUGAAAAAAUAAUAAAAUAUUUAAAAAAUAAUAAUUUAAUACACGUAAAAUUAGAAAUGAUUAACUAUUUUUUAUUAAGAAAAAAUUGAGGAAAUAUUUUGUUAUUUAAAAUUUUUUAUUUGUUUUCAAUUUUUAAUGUUAUAGGUUUCAAGAAAAUUGAUCAAAUAAAAAUUAAGAAGUCAUUUUUUCAAAAACUAUAUAUCUAAAUAAAAGCCUUGAAAUUCAAAUACACAAUAUCAUAAAUAUAAACACCAAGUCAAUCCUUAAUUAUCAAAUGUUUUUAAUAUUAAAGAAUCAAAAUCACCUACUAUCAUGAUAAUAAGAAAACCAAUAAUAUUGUUCAUAUAAAUACUAAAAAGCUAACAAAUAUCCCAAACAAUUAAUAAAGUAUCAAACAUGAUAAAAAGUCAAUUAUUAUCAUGAAUGCAAAAAAUCAAUAAUUUUGUUUAUAUGAACCAUCAACAAAGAAAAAAAAAAUCAAUAUCUAAAUAUUAAACAUAAUUUAUAUUUUUAUAAAUAUUAUUGUUGAUAAAUAUCUUAACAAUUAUAAUUUUAGUAAAUAAAAUUAAUUAAUUUUAGUUUAAGAAUUAUUUUUUUAUACUUUCGUAUUCUUAUCAAAAAUCCCCAUUUUGCAUGUCUCCUUUGGCAUGACUUUCUUACCUAAACAAGCAUAUAUAUAUAUAUAUAUAUAUAAAAUAUUUGGUUAAGAAAGAGUACUAAAGUUUAUAUGGCACACAUCAAGAUAGAAACAGAAGUGGAAGAUAAUCCAAAUGUAUGAACAGAUAUAUUAUAUCCAUGUAGUGGUAGUGACUUCAUUAUUUACUUUUAUCUAAUGGAGCAUGACACACUUCUUCUGAAUAUUUUGCACGAUUAUGUUAUGUGUCAGCUUGUUCUAAGUCAAAACUAGUGAUAAAAAUCGGUUUUUUUUGCAUUUCCUUCAUGAAGAUGGCACCUGGAUGGGGCACUACAUGAGUGGCAUAGCACGAAGUGAUUUAUCUGCUCCCUUUACUAUAAAGUGCUUUGUGUAUAAGUUACACCUCCCCUGCACUGCCUCAACAUUUGUUGUUCUGUCUUCCGUCUGUCCAAACGAGGACAAACGUAUGUUGUAGGUUGACAAAACCACAGCUAGCCUAGGAUUUGCAAGGAUCUAGUUUGAUUCGUAUGCAAAAGGAUUGGUGAAAAGAUUCACAAAGAUAAUGCUUUUUGCAAUGCAAUCUUGUUCUAAUUCAACAGUGUGGACCAUUUUCAUGUAAUGCUUCAACUAGAUGUCAGUUUCAUGAAUUUUUGUUCAUCUAAUUGAUCACUGGAUAGGCCAUAACCCGAAGAAAUUCAAAAUUCCCUUCAGUACUGUAGCUAAGGAAAGAUCCCUAUCUACCACUGGGAUUUUAAGAGGGUAAAAAUGUAGGUGGGUGCCUAUAUCAUUUGCACUUCACUAUAGGCCUCUUUGGGAAGAUUUCUUCUGAAGACAUUUCAAAGAAACAUAUUUUUCUCUUCUCUCCGUAAACGGCAGCUGCAAGUCAGUCCAUUCACAGGCCACCGAGUUGAAAAGGCUGGAAAAUUGGCCAAAGCACCCGCCUCCUGGAUUCCAUGGGUAAGGAAAAGGUCACUGGAGGUGUGAUCCCUGUUGGCCUCUUGAUUUCCAUUCCGCCAUCUAUAUGACCUGAUAACCCAAAAACACAGAAGGAAAACGUCACCUGGGUUCAUAGUAAGCAUCAAGUCAUGAUAGAGACCAGACAACAUGACCAACAAAGAGUAGCGAAUGGGGCCAACAUCAAGCCCCAUUACGGUUAGAAGAUGGAAGAAGUAGAAGACAAUCCAAUUCUGAUAGAUUCGGGCAAAUGUAGUGCUGUUCAAACUUAAUCAUUUACUAUUUCUUCAUGAAUCACGGCAUUUUUCUUCUGAAAAUUUUCCAAGAUUAGGCCUCUGAAGAAAAAUUUCAUAUGUAAAUUGGUAUAUUAAGGAAAAGGCGUUACAAAGGUGAAAAAAAACCAAUCAAAUCUUAUAUAUGACAUCUCAAAAAUAUGAACUUGCUAUAAAUAUUUAAAAUCAAAAUCUUGCACAUCACCUCGUAGUACGAACUUGCUAUAAAACUUGAAAAUCAAGAAGAAAGGGGCAGUAUUGGACGAGACUACUUAGCACAUAUUAUUAUGAUGUUUUUUCAUUUUCUUAAUGUUGUUUUUAUGUCUUAAAUUCUAUUAUUCUAUGUUACGGUAAACAUUCAUCUUGUUUGUGUGGAAUAGGAUCACUUUUCUCUGGGUUGAGUCGAUGCCCUUAGUUAAUUUGUUCAUUUGAAUAAACUAAAUUAUUAUAAGUAUUUAGAUAAGAAAAACGUGAUACAUAAAUUACGCCUCUCGGCACAACUUCAACACUGGUUACUCUGUUUCAGUUUCCUCACACAAGAUUAUUGGUUCUAGGGUUUAUUUGGUUUUGGUUUGAUUCUAAUUGCUAAACUUUCUCAAGGAAGAUGUUAUAUAGGGAGUGAGAAACCUUCACUCUUGGCUACCUCCAAGAGAAGAGCAAGUGGUCUGAAUCAAAGAUAUACUGCUCACUUUUUCUUCUUCUAAGGACAGCUAUGACCUUGCUUUAAGGUUCGAAUAGCCUAAUGCAACCUCCCAUUUCUCAAGUCAGCUGAUGAUGUAAGUCACCUUGGCUUUCCACAUUCAUACGGUGAGGACGUUUGUGGGUGUAAUUCUCUUAACAGUUUUCAUUUUAUAUGGAAAAAUUCAUAAUUAAGGGUAAUUACUGAUUCCAUUUGACAGUGACCAAGUUUAAAAUAUUAAUUCAUAUAUUAAAUGCACAUUAAAAAAUCAUGGAAUAAAUAUAUUUACUAAUAUAUAGUUCUUUUGCCAUGUUCUGUCACAGAAGCAUCGAACUUUCCCUAGAAAUUUUUGCAUGGUAUUCUACUUAUGAUUUUGAAAACUCUAGGCACCUGAGGCCACUAAUUGCAUGGUUGGAUGAGGAGCUGCAUGAGAUUAUGUAUCGUGUUGUUCCUUAACUACAAAUAUCAGUUUUAAGUAGCAUCUCCAUGUGACAUUUUCCUGAUGCAAUUUCGCUGUCCACCAACAAAUUUCACCAUGCAGCAAGAUGAAUUGUAAUUUCUUUAUUGUUAUCAACAGCUUUAAUUAAUCUUGAUAUAUAUAUAUAACUUAGUAGAAGUAUAUUAAUCUAGAUUGUAGUUGCACUAAGAUAAUAGGCAAUAUUAUAACAGUGCCACAAUGCUCAUCGCCAAAUAGAAAGGUAGAAAAACUACAAUGAGUAACUCACAACAUUCUCAAACAGGACAUAGCGGCGACUGAUACAUAGAACACUAUUGGCACUCAGGAAAUGAUAAGAUCAGUGCCCAGCAGGCAGCACGUCUUAUUUUACAUACUACUUAAAACUAACCAAAGUCAUUCAGUUGGGAUGGGUGGGAGAUGGUGGUUUGUGCGGUGGCUUUUGGGUAGUUGGUGGCUUCUUUCCUGGAACUGAUGGUUUUUUUGUUGGAGUUGAAGGAGGCUUAAUCGUCUGAGGUGGCUUGUAUGAGUCUUCAGCACUCUCUGCGGGAGGGUGCCCAGGGUUGUGACCAUAAUGGGGUGGCUUCUCUCCCUUAGUUGGUUUGCCAAGUGGGCUGGCUGGCUUGUGCUCCGGGAGCGGCUUCUCUCCCUUAGGUGGUUUGCCAAAUGGGCUUGCUGGCUUGUGCUCUGGGAGCGGCUUCUCUCCCUCAAGAAGUUUACGGGUUUUGUCAGAUGGCUUGUGUUCUGGUGGUGGCUUCUCUCCUUGGGGUGGUUUGCCAAAUGGACUUGGUGGCUUGUGUUCGGGGAGUGGCUCCUCUCCCUUGGGAGGUUUAGUUGGUGGCUGGUGUUCCAUAGGUGGUUUCUCAACCGGGGGCUUGUUCUCCGUUGGUGGUUUAUGAACUGGGGGAUGCUUGGGGUAGUCAGCAAGAGACGGGGUGGUGAGAACCACCAGUCCCAGCAGCAACACUAGCAAGUAUGUGGAAGAGUACAUCUUUGAGUUCAGGCUGAGAUUUGUGCGAGACUUGAAGAAUUAGGUGGCCUUUUAUAGCUGGCUGCACCCAACACUCACAUGACACGUAUCAUGGUGACACAUGUGCUAUGGGUCCAUUUGGGUCCUACAGAAGCUGAAAACUUUUGACUAUUGAGGUGUGGUCACAACUUUUGUCCCUAUUGCUUUCUCCGCAACCGUUUUACAUGUUUCCUUUGGCAUAAUUUUCUAAGCUAAACAAGCAUAUAUCAUAUUUGGUUAAGAAAGAGUAAAGUGUAUAUGGCACACAUCAAGGAAGAGAAACAGAAAAAGUGGGAGACAAUCAAUUGUGAUAAACAGAUAUAUUAUAUUCAUGUAGUACUAGUGACUUUAUCAUUUACUUUUAUCCAAUAGAUCAUCACUCUUUCUUCUAAAUAUUUUGGAGGAUAAUGGUACAUGUUGCUUGUUUCCAAGUCAAAAUUGGUGGCAAAAAUCGGCAUGAUACGAAAGGAUUGGUGAAAAGAUUCACAUAGAUGGUGCUUUGUGCAAUGCAGUCUUGCUCUAAUUCAACAGAGUGGACCAUGGUGAUGUAUUUUAAAUUUUAAAUUUUAAAUUAAUGCAUGCUUCAAAGUUUUAACUAGAUGUCACUUCCAUGGAUUUUUGUUCAUUUAAUUGAGCACAGGAUAGGCUAUCAAACUUGAAGUAAUAUAAAAAUCCCUUCAUUACUGUAACUAAUGAAAGAUCAUUAUCUGCGCUUGGUAUUUUGCCAAGGUAUUUGCUGCUCUUUCUAGCCCUGUCUUACAGUUAAGGACAAUGUGAUCUAGUUAACCUUAGAAGCUAUUCCAUGUCAGAUACAAGAGAUCAAGCACAUUAUCUUUGGGCUCAGUUCAAAACUAUAAUAUAUGGGUGGGGUGGAGGCCCAUAUCAUUUGCAUAUCACCACUAUUGGUUUAGUUUGGAAGGUUUCUUCUGGAAGAUUGCUGCUUUCUGGAAUCAUUUCAAAGAAAUAUAUCUUUUUGUUCUCUUGGUGACGAGCAGCGGCAAUCAAGUCUGUUGACAAACAACCGAGUUGAAAAGUUUGAAAAUUGGUCACAGCCCACGUCCAUGGUUAAGGAAAAGGUCACUGGAAGUGAUCCCUUCUGGGCCUCUUGAUUUCCAUUCUGACAUCUAUAUGACCUGAUAAAUAGAAAGAAAAAAAAACAGAAGAAAAGCGGCACCCGGGUUCAUAGUAAGCAUCAAGACAGGAUACUGAAAGAAGGGAGAAAGGAGAUUGCAAGUCCAAUCCUGAUAAAAUGAUCAACAAAGAGUAUCAAAAUGGGGCCAACAUAAAGACCCAUUGAGGUUAGCAGAUGGCAUGGCAUUUUUCUCCUUAAGUUUUCCAUGAUUAGACUUGAAGUCAAAAUUUCACAUGUAAAUUUGUAUUUCUACAUUUCCCACUGACGACACCCAACUUCAACUUGAGUUAGAAUAACAUUGUGUGAACUUAUCUGGCCCUCAAAAUUUACUGUGAAGUGCUUUCUGCGUGUGAAGAUUCAGAAAAGCACCAAGGGAACAUGUAUGGUCUGCCUUUUUCUGAUGUUAUGUUUGUCUCUAAUUCUGUUCCAUGUCAUGGUAAAUGUUCACAUUGCUUGUAUGGAACACACCAGGAUCACUUUUUCGGGUUUAUUUUGAGGCUUCAUAUUGGGUUCAUAUUGGGUUCAAUGCUUUUAAUGUGUUCAUUAGACAAAUCUGAAUUAUCAUAUGCAUUUAGAUAAGAACAAUAAUGUGAAACCCUAGUUACACCUCCCCUGCAUAACCCCAACCCUGCUUACUCUAUUUCAGUUUACUCACACAAGUUUUACCGGUUCUUAUAAGUCAAGAAAAGGCAACUGAUGUUGGAUUGACUCUCUUCCAUGUAUAAAAAGCAACUUUUAUAUAUACAUAAAAUAACUUCUUCCCCUCACCAAUGUGGGAUAUCAUGGAUUUAUUCUGGAAACACAUCAAAGGAACAUCUUUUCUCUUGGGUGACCCUAAGUGGUGAGUCAGACCAUUUGCAUGCCAUUGAGUUGCACAGUUGGAUAAAUGCACCUACCUCCUGGGCUCCAGAGUUAAAAGGGUGGAUCCCUGGAUCGCAACCCUCUUGGCAUCUUGGUUUCCAUUCCAACAUCCACAUGACUUGACAAAACAAAAAACAGAAUAAAAUCAUCACUAUUUUCAUGCUAAGCACCAAUACAUGAUGGAAAUCAUUGCUUAAAGAUUUGGGGUCAUUUAGGUUUUGACUGCCUCCUAACACCUCACCUAAUCACAAGUUUUUAUGCUUACAAAUCAAAUAUCGUUCUUCAUUAUAUUAAAAUCAUUUUAAGAUUUCAGAUCCAUCUGCUAAUUAUGAUUAUGAUAACAUUAAUUCACCUGUGCUUCUCAUUUUCGACACACAAGGCAUCUAGGUUUGCAGGAUUUCCUUAUUAGAUGAGAUAAAUGAGUACGCAUGGUUAUGUAUGCAGCAUUCAUUAACCAUGGUAUGUGACAUUUAGAAUUAAGAUAGCAAGCAAACUUUCCCUGCAGCUUGAGUAAAUUGUGAUUUCUUAGCCUCUAUGAGUGGUUCCCAAAUCAAAUUAACAUAGUGAAAUAUACGUAGUCCAGUGAAAGGAAAUGUAAAUUAUAAACUAACAGCACUACACUACUGGUAACACUCGAUACUCUCUAUAUAAUGCAAUGAAAUAUACGUUAUACGUUGCUUGUUCCAAGUCAAAAUUUGUGGCCAAACGUUGGCCUUUUUUCAUUUUCCCUAAGAUUAAUGCUCACCUGGGAUAGGCACUACAUGAUUUAUCUGCUCUUUUACUGUAAAGUUGCUUUGUGUAUGAGUUACACCUCCCCUGCACACCCUCAACAUUUGUUGCUCUGUUUUCCUUGUGUCCAGACGAGGAUAUUAAGUGGGGGCUGACAAAACGACUGCUAGCCAAGGAUUUACAAGGUCCUGGUUUGACGCUUCCGCGAAAGUAUUUUUGAAAAUAUACACAUAGAGAUUGCGCGUUCGGUGCAAUGCAACAAUGUGAGCCAUUCUGAAGUUUUUAAUUUCAGAUUAAUGAAUGCUACAAAAUUCUAAGAAGGGCCGUUUCCAAAUAUUUGAGUUCAUUUAUCCGAACAUCGGAUAAGUAAUGAUCAUAGAUUAUUAUUAUUAUCUGACGUUCUUAUAAUGGUUGGCAUUAUAAGAGGGUAUAUGCUUCUUUCUCUAGCCCCUCCUUCAAGGGAGGGACAAUGUGAUCUGUAUCGUUAGAAGCUAUUCCAUGUCGUCAUCUUUUGGCUUAAGUCAAUACUAAAAUAUAUGGGCGGGGCCCCUGUCAUUUUAUAUUUCUUCUAGAAGGUUUGUUCUGGAAAUCUUUCACCGAAACAUAUCUUUUUCUUCUCUACGUGAUCCGUGGUUGGAAAGUUAGAAAAAUGGGUCCGUUCACAAGCCACCGAGUUGAAAAGUUGGAAAAAUGGCAACACCGCCAACCUCUUGUAUUCGAUAGUUAAAUAAAAGGUCACUGGAAGUGAGAUCCCUUUUGGCCUCUUGAUUUUCAUCCCAGCAUCUCUAUGUCCUGAUAAACUAAAAAACUAAAAAAAAAACAGUACGUGGGUUGGUGUUAAGCAUCAAGAGUCAAGACAUGAUAAUGGAGAGAAAGGAUAUUCAAAUUCCAGUUCUGACAACAUGAUUUUCUUUCCUGAACAACCAUGUUAUAUUUGAUCAAGAAAGAGUAGUGCAUGUGGCCAGGAUCAAGACAUACAUUAAUUUCCACAUGAUGAAGACAGUUUCUGAGAGUUUCUUCUAAAGCUCUUGCGCUAGUAGGCUUCAAGUCAAAAUUUCCCAUGUAAACACUGGAUUUUCUUUAAUUGCCACUAAGGAUACAGUUAAAAUUGACUUAAAAUCCUACGUGAUAUAUAUCUUUAACAAAAGUAUAUUGUAUAUAAUAUUUGAAAUAAUGUUGAUUCGUUGUGGAAAUAUGUUUGUAAGGAAAGUUGUUGACAAUUUAAUAUAGUAUAAGAAGAAAAAAGUUAUCAACUAGAGAUGAGUAUGUAAAGUGAGGCUCACGAUUCAACGCGUAAAUAUAAGAUAUUUUAAGGCUCAAUAGUUAUGAUAUCUAUUUUAUUUUUUGUAUCCCAUAUAUUCAAAGAUACAGUAAAAUGAUUUUAUAUAUAUGAACAUAGCCGAUAGUAUCAUGUUAAAACCUUAUAUGACUCUUUGUGCCAAUUGAUUUUUAUCUUUAUUUUGUGUAUUAGUAAUUAGUAUUAAAGUUUUUACUAACAUAAUAAUUGAUAUAAAAGCUUUUUCCAAAAGAGUCAAACAGAGCAAAACACUUAUUAUAAAAAGAAUUUUGAUUGAAGGUGGAGUCAAUUAUUCUUUAUUCAACAUGUGAUGCAUACAGCGGGUACUUCAUAACUAAAGUAUAUAAGUGCAACAUCUCUUAUACAUUCUCAUUCAAUCUCGAAAGUGGAAAAUUUUAAAAGAUUAAAUGGUUCAAAUUUUCCGUGCAUAAAGGGGAUCAUGUCACAUAACCAAACCAUGGCAUACCAAAGCCAUGAUAUGGACUAAGAAUUUUGUUAAAAUAAGUUUCUUAUUAGGGCACAUUAUGUGACUAUUUAUGACAUAUCAAAGGAGUCAAGUGCAUCAAUAAAGACAUAGAAAAUUCAUGCAUCACAUGUACCACUAAGAGAAAAUUGACUUGAUAGAGUUUAGUCCAAAUAGGAGAUUGUUAAAAGGUGCAUCAAAUUCUUGAUUGAUAUAUAUUUUUUUUAUUAGAAAGGUUAUUAUAUAGAUAUUUCAAUAGACUAUUAAUCCUUUGUAAAAAUAGUUAUAUAAUGAGGAUGGUGAUUAAAAAUAUCUCUAUCAAUAUUUUGGAUUAUAAAAAGAAAAAAAAUAUGAGAAAAUGAUAAACAUAUAAAACUUGUACAAGUAGAUAGAGAUGUGAUGAAAGACACUUGAUGAAUGGAGGCCUUGUAUUUCAAGAUGUAAAUAUAUGGAGCAAAACUCUUAAUUAUAUGAUCAAAUGAUUCUCUCAUAUUCAUGAACAUAAGCAGGAUUGGGGAACCAUGAUAGAAUCUUAUAUGCCUCUCCAUGUAGAUUGAUCGAUGUUUAUCUUCAUAUUUUACACCAAUGAAUGACAUUGAAACUCUGAUUGAUAAAAGGGAAAAAGCAUGGCCUCCACCACAAGAAAAACAAGUAACCUCGGUCUAAAUCACUAGUCUACACCCCGAAGAGAGAACUAGCCAAACCUACUAAAAGAGAAACUUACCAAUUUAGAAAGAAAUCUUCCAUGAUAAAGGGCCCCUAAAAGUCCAAUUCAGUCAGGUUGUGAACAAAAACACCUUCAUGUCAAAACAGGAAUAGGUACCACCAAAAUGUAAAGGGAAAGAUGUAAACCAAGUCGAACUUUGGUAAACAAUGGUAAAGAUAGCAUGAUAGCUAAAAGCACUAAAGCUGUGCUUGGUAUGCAAAAAUGAAAAGUGGAAAUCAGCGUCUUAUUCUUUUUCUCCUUUAUUCACAUAUUAGGAUAACUAAUAUCUAAUGUUUUUUUUAUGUCUCAAAUUCUAUUCCAUGUUAUGGUAAACUUUCAUCUUGUUUAAGUGGAAGAGUAGGAUCACUUUUGUCUGGUUUGGGCUCAAGACGAUAAGCCUAUAGAGACUUCAUAUUGGGUUGAAUUGAUGCCCUUGAUCCGAUCAGUUCGUUAGAAAAAUCUGAAUUAUUAUAAGCAUUUAGAUAAAAUAAAUAAAUAAAUGUGAAACAGAGACUAUUCUCUGCACAACCUUGACCCUAGUUACUCAGUUUCACUGCUCACGGGACUAACCUCUCCAUUCAGUCGAAAUGAAUUGUAAUUUCUUUACUGGUAGCAGUAGUACUUUUCAUAGCAAAGAUAAUAGUAAAUAUGAAAUAUAAAUAUAUAGAAGGAAAUCUGGAUUGUAGAUAGCACCAUAAGUAACACUCAAUAUUUACUACAUAAUAAAAGAGAUAGUGUUACAAAGGUAGAGAAACCUACAAUGAGUACUCAUCACCAUUCUCAAACAGAAACAUAGCAGUGACUUAUACAUAGAACCUAUAGGCUCGCAGGGAAAGAGUAACAUGAUAAGUGCACAGCGGGUAGCAGCUCUUAUUUUACGUAUUACUCAAAAUCUCAAACUAACCAAAGUCACUCAGUUGGGAUGGGUAGGAGAUGGUGGUUUGUGGGGUGGCUUCUGGGUAGGAGCUGGUGGCUUCUUUGUUGGAGUUGAAGGAGGCGUAAUCUUCUGAGGUGGCUUGUAUGAGUCUUUGGCACUCUCUGCAGGAGGGUGCCCAGGGUUGUGACCGGAAGGAGGUGGCUUCUGUCCCUUUGGUGGUUUGCCUAAUGGGCUUGGUGGCUUGUGCUCCGGGAGUUGUUUCUCUCCCUCGAGUAGGUUUCGAGUUUUGUCAGAUGGCUUGUGUUCUGGUGGUGGCUUCUCUCCCUGGGGUGGUUUGCCGAAUGGGCUUGGUGGCUUGUGUUCGGGGAGUGGCUUCUCUCCCUUGGCAGGUUCAGUUGGUGGCUGGUGCUCCGUAGGUGGUUUCUUCACCGCCGGCUUCUCUCCCUGGAGAAGGUUACGAGUUUUGUCAGAUGGCUUCUGUUCUGGUGGCGGCUUCUCUCCCUGGGGUGGUUUGCCAAAUGGGCUUGGUGGCUUGUGUUCGGGAACUGGCUUCUCUCCCUUGGCAGGUUCAGUUAGUGGCUGGUGUUCCGUAGGUGGUUUCUUCACCGGCGGCUUGUGCUCCGGAAGCGGCUUCUCUACCUGGAGAAGCUUACGAGUUUUGUCAGAUGGCUUGUGUUGUGGUGGUGGCUUCUCUCCCUGGGGUGGUUUGCCAAAUGGACUUGGUGGCUUGUGUUCGGGGAGUGGCUUCUCUCCAUUGGGAGGUUUAGUUGGUGGUUGGUGUUCCGUAGGUGGUUUCUGAAGUGGGGGAUGCUUGGGGUAGUCAGCAAGAGACGAGGUAGUGAGAACCACCAGUCCCAGCAGCAAUACUAGCAAGGAUGUGGAAGACAUCUUUGAGUUCAGGCUGAGAUUUGUGCAAGGCUAGAAGAAUUAGGUGGCCUUUUAUAGCGGGCUGGACCCAACAACCAAAUGACACGUAUCAUGAUACACAUAUGUGUUAUAAGAUCCUUGUGGGUCCUACAGAAGUUGAAAACUUUGACAAUUGAGGUGUGAUUACAACUUUUGUCCCUAUUGCUUUCUCGUCAGCCGUUUUGCAAGAUUUUUGACAGGAGGACGGUAGUUUAAAAUAAUAAUUUCUAAAGUACUUUUGUGAAAAAAAAUAAUUCCAAACGUGGAUUUUAUCAAGUAAAAAAAACAAAAAAAAGUUAUUUUCUUUUAAAAUCUUUUCUUCAUGAUUCAUAUACCAAAAAAAGAAUUGUUUUCUGUAGGUAAAAUUUUUAAAAUUCAUUUUUAAAAAAAAAAAAUUACACACUAAAAUUAUCUCUUCAAGAAAAUAUUUUUUAAAUUUUAAAUAAUUAUUAAUUUAUAAUUAAUUUUUUAUUAAUUAUUUAUUAAAUUUAUAUGUGAAAAAUGCAUUUAUAAAAAACAAAUUUUUUAUUAAUUUAUUAAAUAAUUAUUUACAAAAUAAAUAAUUUUGCUUUAUUUUAAUUUUAAAAUUAAUUUUAUUAUAUAAAUUUUAAAAUUAAAAAUAUUAAUAUUUAAUUUAAAAUUUAACUAUAAAAGGAAUAAAAUAUAGAAAAAUAAAUUAAUUUAUUAUUCAAUAAAUUAAUUUUCAAUAAAAUUUUCAGCAUUAAGAGAUAAAUUUUUAAGUAUUAAUCAAUUUAAAAAAUAAUAAUAAUCAUUUGUAUACUAAGAUAUUUUAUUUAGUAAUUAUGAAUGAUAAACAACUAAAGUAAUUUGAAAAAAUAAUAAAAUAUUUAAAAAUAAUAAUUUAAUACACUUAAAAUUAGAAAUGAUUAACUAUUUUUUAUUAAGAAAAAAUUGAAGAAAUAUUUUGUUAUUUAAAAUUUUUUAUUUGUUUUCAAUUUUAAAUGUUAUAGGUUUCAAGAAAAUUGAUCAAAUAAAAAUUAAGAAGUCAUUUUUUCAAAAACUAUAUAUCUAAAUAAAAGCCUUGAAAUUCAAAUACACAAUAUCAUAAAUAUAAACACCAAGUCAAUCCUUAAUUAUCAAAUGUUUUUAAUAUUAAAGAAUCAAAAUCACCUACUAUCAUGAUAAUAAGAAAACCAAUAAUAUUGUUCAUAUAAAUACUAAAAAGCUAACAAAUAUCCCAAACAAUUAAUAAAGUAUCAAACAUGAUAAAAAGUCAAUUAUUAUCAUGAAUGCAAAAAAUCAAUAAUUUUGUUUAUAUGAACCAUCAACAAAGAAAAAAAAAAUCAAUAUCUAAAUAUUAAACAUAAUUUAUAUUUUUAUAAAUAUUAUUGUUGAUAAAUAUCUUAAUAAUUAUAAUUUUUUAUAUAUUAAAUUUAGUAAAUAAAAUUAAUUAAUUUUAUAAUAUAAGAUAUAUAUAAUAAUUAAGAGACUAUUUGUCCCAAACAAUUUAUUUAUUUUUUUUUUAGGAAAUUGUCUCUUCAAGAGACGACUUCUCCCAACAUUUUUAAAAAAAAAAAAAAAAACAUCUAUUCAAAAGACGAUUUCUCCUCAUUUUUUAAAAAUGAAUUUUAGAAAUCAUAUUUUCAAAAAUGAAUUUUAGAAAUCAUAUUUUCAAAAGACGAUUUUUUUUUAUAUAAAUUAUUUUUUAAAAUGACGAUUUUAAAAGGAAAUAACGAUCUCUCUCCUACUUGGCAAAAACUAUGGUAAAUUUGGAAUUAUUUCUUCCACAACCAUAGUUUAAGAAUUAUUUUUUUAUACUUUCGUAGACUUAUCAAAAAUCCCUAUUUUGCAUGUCUCAUUUGGCAUGACUUUCUUACCUAAACAAGCAUAUAUAUAUAUAUAUAUAUAUAUAUCACUUUUGUCUGGGUUGAGUCAAUGCCCUUAACUAAUUUGUUCAUUUGAAUAGUCUAAAUUAUUAUAAGCUUUUAGUUAAGAAAAAUGUGAAACAUAAAUUACACCUCUCGGCACAACUUCGACACUGGUUACUCUGUUUCAGUUUAUUCACACAAGAUUAUUGGUUCUAGGGUUUAUUUGGUUUUGGUUUGAUUCUAAUUGCUAAACUUUCUCAAGGAAGAUGUUAUAUAGGGAGUGAGAAACCUUCACUCCUGGCUACCUCCAAGAGAAGAGCAAGUGGUCUGAAUCAAAGAUAUACUGCUCACUUUUUCUUCUUCUAAGGACAGCUAUGACCUUGCUUUAAAAUGUUCGAAUAGCCUAAUGCAACCUCCCAUUUCUCAAGUCAGCUGAUGAUGUAAGUCACCUUGGCUUUCCACAUUCAUACGGUGAGGACGUUUGUGGGUGUAAUUCUCUUAACAGUUUUCAUUUUAUAUGGAAAAAUUCAUAAUUAAGGGUAAUUACUGAUUCCAUUUGACAGUGACCAAGUUUAAAAUAUUAACUCAUGUAUUAAAUGCACAUUAAAAAAUCAUGGAAUAAAUAUAUUUACUAAUAUAUAGUUCUUUUGUCAUGUUCUGUCACAGAAGCAUCGAACUUUCCCUAGAAAUUUUUGCAUGGUAUUCUGCUUAUGAUUUUGAAAACUCUAGGCACCUAAGGCCACUGAUUGCAUGGUUGGAUGAGGAGCUGCAUGAGAUUAUGUAUCCUGUUGCUCCUUAACUACAAAUAUCAGUUUUAAGUAGCAUCUCCAUGUGACAUUUUCCUGAUGCAAUUUCGCUGUCCACCAACAAAUGUCUCCAUGCAGCUAGAUGAAUUGUAAUUUCUUUGUUGUUAUCAACAGCUUUAAUUAAUCUUGAUAUAUAUAUAACUUAGUAGAAGUAAUUAAUCUAGAUUGUAGUUGCACUAAGAUAAUAGGCAAUAUUAUAACAGUGCCACAAUGCUCAUCGCCAAAUAGAAAGGUAGAAAAACUACAAUGAGUAACUCACACAACAUUCUCAAACAGGACAUAGCGGCGACUGAUACAUAGAACACUAUUGGCACUCAGGAAAUGAUAAGAUCAGUGCCCAGCAGGCAGCACGUCUUAUUUUACAUACUACUUAAAACUAACCAAAGUCAUUCAGUUGGGAUGGGUGGGAGAUGGUGGUUUGUGCGGUGGCUUCUUUCCUGGAACUGGUGGUUUUUUUGUUGGAGUUGAAGGAGGCUUAAUCGUCUGAGGUGGCUUGUAUGAGUCUUCAGCACUCUCUGCAAGAGGGUGCCCAGGGUUGUGACCAUAAUGAGGUGGCUUCUCUCCCUUAGGUGGUUUGCCAAGUGGGCUGGCUGGCUUGUGCUCCGGGAGCGGCUUCUCUCCCUUAGGUGGUUUGCCAAAUGGGCUUGCUGGCUUGUGCUCUGGGAGCGGCUUCUCUCCCCCAAGAAGUUUGCGGGUUUUGUCAGAUGGCUUGUGUUCUGGUGGUGGCUUCUCUCCUUGGGGUGGUUUGCCAAAUGGACUUGGUGGCUUGUGUUCGGGGAGUGGCUCCUCUCCCUUGGGAGGUUUAGUUGGUGGCUGGUGUUCCGUAGGUGGUUUCUCAACCGGGGGCUGGUGCUCCGUAGGUGGUUUAUGAACUGGGGGAUGCUUGGGGUAGUCAGCAAGAGACGGGGUGGUGAGAACCACCAGUCCCAGCAGCAACACUAGCAAGUAUGUGGAUGACAUCUUUGAGUUCAGGCUGAGAUUUGUGCAAGACUAGAAGAAUUAGGUGGCCUUUUAUAGCUGGCUGCACCCAACACUCACAUGACACGUAUCACGGUGACACAUGUGCUAUGGGAUCCAUUUGGGUCCUACAGAAGUUGAAAACUUUUGACUAUUGAGGUGUGAUCACAACUUUUGUCCCUAUUGCUUUCUCCGCAACCGUUUUACAUGUUUCCUUUGUGGUGUUUAAUAGUGUUUUUUUCCUUAAUUCUAAAUAAACCUUAAUACUUAAUAAUGUUAAAUAUUAGGUUAUUUAUUUUUAUAAUAUUUUAUUUAUAUUAAGUAUUAAAAAGUAAAGAAAAAUCAAUAUAUUUAUUUUUCUAUUUAGAAAAAACUAUAUAUUUUUAAUUUUUUUAUUUAAUAAAAAAUUUAUAAUAAAUCAUGAAAAAAUAGAAAAACAAACAACCUAAAUUUUAAAAAUAAAUUGUUUUUAGUAAAAACCCAAAAAAACAAACACCACCUUAACUAAACAAAUAUAUAUUAUAUUUAGUUAAGAAAGAGUAAAGUGUAUAUGGCUCAAAUCAAGGAAGAGAAACAGAAUAAGUGGAAGACAAUCAAUUGUGAUAAACAGAUAUAUUACAUGCAUGUAGUACUAGUGACUUUAUCAUUUACUUUUAUACAAUAGAUCAUCACACUCUUUCUUCUAAAUAUUUUGGAGGAUAAUGGUACAUGUUGCUUGUUGCCAAGUCAAAAUUGGUGGCAAAAAUCGGCAUGAUACGAAAGGAUUGGUGAAAAGAUUCACAUAGAUGGUGCUUUGUGCAAUGCAGUCUUGCUCUAAUUCAACAGAGUGGACCAUGGUGAUGUAUUUUAAAUUUUAAAUUUUAAAUUAAUGCAUGCUUCAAAGUUUUAACUAGAUGUCACUUCCAUGGAUUUUUGUUCAUUUAAUUGAGAACAGGAUAGGCUAUCAAACUUGAAGUAAUAUAAAAAUCCCUUCAUUACUGUAACUAAUGAAAGAUCAUUAUCUGCGCUUGGUAUUUUGCCAAGGUAUUUGCUGCUCUUUCUAGCCCUAUCUUACAGUUAAGGACAAUGUGAUCUAGUUAACCUUAGAAGCUAUUCCAUGUCAUAUACAAGAGAUCAAGCACAUUAUCUUUGGGCUCAGUUCAAAACUAUAAUAUAUGGGUGGGGUGGGGGCCUAUACCAUUUGCAUAUCACCACUAUUGGUUUAGUUUGGAAGGUUUCUUCUGGAAGAUUGCUUUCUGGAAACAUUUCAAAGAAAUAUAUCUUUUUGUUCUCUUGGUGACGAGCAGCGGCAAUCAAGUCUGUUGACAAACAACCGAGUUGAAAAGUUUGAAAAUUGGUCACAGCCCACGUCCAUGGUUAAGGAAAAGGUCACUGGAAGUGAUCCCUUCUGGGCCUGUUGGAAGCAGGGGAGGUUAACACACCAAGCAACAAAGAACAGAGAUAUGCUGCUACUGAUCUAUAUUUUUUAUUUGAUCAUAAGGCUAAAUUUAUACAGAUUGUGUAACAGAUAUGACCUCAAAAAAAAGCAUCAAAUCAAGCUACUUGUUGAACAAACAACUACCUUCUACAAAAUAACAUCAAAAUUUAACUUAAAAGCAAAAACAUAAAAAUAGCAACAGCAAAAAUAGAAACAUAAAAAUAGCUUCAGCAUUCUAGUAAUCUCGUUGACUUCAAUUGCAUGUGGUUGACGAUUUCAGCCUUUUCCUCAGCAGCUACUAAGGCAUAACUCUCAACACUCCUCCUUGACUUAGGAGGUGCAAACUCCAAGUCUUUCUCAUAGAAACUCAAAUCUUAUUUUAGGAAGAGCUUUAGUCAGAAUAUCUACAUUUUGACUGUCUGUAUUGCAGUAGACUAGUUGUAUAUCUCCUUCUUUCUGUACUUCCCUCAAAAAUUACAAUUUAAUCUUGAAGUGCUUUGUUUUACCAUGAAAAACUGGAUCAUUUGCAAUAGAUAUAGUGGCCUGGUUGUCUACAAACACCUUUGUACUCACUUCUUGCUUCAUAUCCAAAUCUGUCAGCAACUUUCCAAGCCAUAAGGCUUGAUUUACAGCUGUAACAGCAGCAAUAUACUCUGCCUCAGCUGUGGAUUGAGCCACGACUUCUUGCUUCCUUGAACUCCAUGAAAAAACACCAGAACCAAAACUAAAACAAUAGCCUGAAGUACUUCUCAUAUCGUCAACACAACCAGCCCAAUCACUAUCAGAAAAUCCAUGAAAAUUGAAACUUUGAACUUGACUGAACUUAAUGCCAUAAUCCACAGUGCCUUUAACAUUUCUUAUCACACGCUUUGCUGCCUGGAAAUGAAUUUCACUAGCACAAUGCAUGUAUCUCGAAAGUAGACUUACAGCAUGCAUUAUAUCGAGUCUUGUUGCAGUCAAGUACAUUAAGCAUCCAAUCAUGCUUCGAUAAAGUCCUUCAUCUACCUUUUUAGCACCGUCCUCCUUACAGAACUUCUCUUUCUGGUUCAUAGGGGUAGAUGUAGGUUUGCAUUCCUCCAUUUUGAAUUUCUUCAUAAUUUCUUUGGCAUAUUUUUGUUGGCAGAUGAAAAUCUCAUUCUGCUUCUGGUGUACUUCCAUUCCCAAGAAGUAAGACAUCUCAUCUAGGUCUGUCAUCUCAAAAACCUGCUCCAUUUCAGCCUUGAAUUUGUUCACAAACCCUGCAUUACUUCCUGUUACAAGCAAAUCAUCAACAUAUAGAGAAACAAUUAAUAUAUCUUCUUCAAUCUUCUUAAUGUAGAGUGUAAAUUCACUCAAGCUCUUGUGAAAGCCUAAAGUUAGCAGGUGAGUGUCAAUCCUGCUGUACCAAGCUCUAGGGGCUUGUCUUAACCCAUACAAGGCCUUCUUAAGAAGGUAUACUUUUUCUUCUUUUCCUUUGAUAGCAAAACCUUCUGGUUGUUCGACAAAAAUCUCUUCCUCUAAGUAGCCAUUCAAAAAUGCUGACUUCACAUCUAGUUGAUAAAUCUUCCAUUUUCUUUGAGCUACAAGAGCCAACAACAUCCUGAUUGUAUCCAAACGAGCUACUGGUGCAAAGGUUUCCGAAAAGUCAACACCAAACAUUUGUGCAUACCCUUUGACAACCAGCCUUGCUUUAUGUUUGUUUAUAGAACCAUCAGAGUUGAGUUUGGUUCUGUAAACCCACUUAACCCCAAUAGGUUUUUUGUGUGAAGGUCUAUCUACUAGCUCCCAAGUGUUGUUCUUGUCAAUCAUAUCUAGCUCCUCCUGCAUUGCAACCCUCCAUCUUUUAUUUUCAGCAGCUUCAACAAACCCUGCAAGUUCAAGAACAGCUAUAUUACACCUUUGAUAAAUAUCAAAAAGUGUCAUGAAACCUCUAACUGGAAGUUCAUCAACAUCUUCAUCAAUAUAUUGCUGAUUCUGCUCAUCCCAACUCCAUUUCUCCGUUUCCAAAAACUUAACAUCUCUACUUACCACAAUUUUACUAUUUUGUGGCAAGUAGAUUCUGUAAGCUUUUGAGGUGCUGUUGUAUCCAAUGAAAAUUCCUGGUUCUGACUUUUUAUCUAGCUUGUCUCUUUUCACCUGAGGAACAUAAGAGAAACACAAGCAACCAAAGGUCUUUAAAUUCAUUAGCAUAGGCUUAUAAGCAAACCAGGCCUCAAAAGGUGUCUGUUUCUGCAAUGCUUUUGUUGGUAGUCUAUUUAGCAAAAAUACUACUGUAUUUGCAGCUUCAACCCAAAAACUUUUUGGCAGCUCUUUCUCAUGCAAAAGACAUCUUGUCAUUGAUUACUACUCAAAAAGUGCUAUUUGAUAGCCUUUAAUUAAUCCUUUUUAACACUUUUGAGUAGUAGUUUAGGCCUUUUAACUCAAUUGGCAUGUUAAGGAUCCUUUAAAGCAAUUUUGAUCACUUUGUGCAAGUUUUGGUGUUUUUGUUAGUAUUUCGAUCACCAAAGCAAGUCAAGAAUGAGGAGAGCUAUGAGGAAUCUUGGGCAAAGCUUAGAAUUCAAUUGCCAAGAGUGAAUCCGGAUUGCAAGGAGAAAAAGCAAAGAGGAUCAGUCAUGGAGCAUAUUCUUGAUGACAGUCGUAGCAGCCACUUUUGGAUCACUUUCUGAAGUCCAAAUGAUGCAAGCUAUAUACCAUUUCAAAGCUCAGGAAGUCAACAAUCCAAUGCUUCAAACGGUGUGCGAUUCGGAAUUGAAACGAAGAAGUUGCAGCCAUUACAAGCCAGACACUCUAAAGUGUUGCGGAAUCAGCCAUGUGUUGCGAGAAUUUCGCAGCACUUUUGUACAGUAAGGUGUUUCUCCUUCUAACGAUGCACGAACCAUGCCGCGAGAAGGGAGCUGGAAACUUCAAGAUGGAAGCCAACUUUGCAGCCUAGUGAAGAUAGCUCGGUCUUGCAAGAUAAUUUCGCAGCCCUCUUGGGUGUCUGCGAAAUUUCGCAGGCCUCAUUUUUCACCUGCGAAAUGGCUCUUGAAGCCUCCCGAAGCUUGCUACCGACAUUGGGAGAUAUUUUCCAUUAGAUUUUUGUUGUCUAAAUCCCAAAAUACUCCUUGUAAACCACCAAUUACAUGAUUCCUUAGUUUUUAAGUUAGUAAAAAGACCAAAUAUCUUUGUAACAAUUAGUUUUAUAUUUUGUUGUUAUAAAUACCUCUCGGGAGCCUGUUCUCAGGGAGGAGUUCCUUCUGUAAACGUUUGGUAAGCAAGUAAAGUCUAUUUUCUUUCUACUGCCUUACCUUCUCACUUUGUAUUUUCAUUUUAUUUCUAAGUUAUGAAUUCUCUGAGGAGUUUUCCCCAAAGAAUGAGUAACUAAACCUCCAAUUCCUUGGAGCUAAGGUUGCCGGGGAAGGUUCCAAGUGCAAGAAUGCAAAGCUCUGUGGUUUUAGCUAGUAAUGAAGAGGAAGUGAAAUCCUUUAGUGAUUUCAAUGUUUUUAGUUAACUUAAAACACUUUGGAGUCACCUGGGCCAACACUUGGUAAGGCAAGUGAUUUCCAACCAUGGAAAUGCACUAGUUUACCCCUUGCGAGCCUCUGGUAGGUGACUUCAAGGUAGGAUUUUCUGGAAUUACCAACACUUGGUAAGCUUUUGGACUCCUAGGAGACAUCCAUUAGUUAUCUCUUGCGAGUUUGUGAAGGGAAUCCAAGGUUAAAGAUCACCUUGAAUGGUAAGUGCUCGUGAGAGGCAUGAACCAUUGCAAGUUGUAUCAGUGAGAGAAUUAAAGUGAAAUCUAAUUGAAGGAGUCUUUGUACAUCACCGGUUAGAGAAUUGACUAUAAGUUGAAUCUCUAAUGCGAGGAAAUGAACCAACUGACCAGAGCCGUGUCUUUUGCAUGAGGAACCACCCCAGUGAACCUAAAUCUCCAAGGAAUGUUUUUUUCUUCCUAAAUUAUUCCAAACUUCUGUUAAGUUAGUUAGUUUAAAUCUCAACCUUUACAAAUCAAAGUUUGUGUUUUAUUCCUUAAGCUAACCGUGAAAUGAAACAAGACCAAUUCACUUGGAAUUGGUAUCAUUGAUUGCCUGCAAAUCAUUCCCAGUGAACGAUCCUAGAGCCACUAUACUAUAGUAGCUUUGUAUUUGCUACCCUAGUGUAUGGUGUUAUAGGUAUAAAUUUUGUUGAUCACUUCCUCAAUCAAGGAGCACCAGCUGAACACAAAUCAGCUGAGACACCAAUUAGGCAUGAGUCAAAUGGCGCCGUUGCCGGGGAAUGAAUGUCAAGUUCAUUGUGAUACCAUUGUUGAGCACUUGUGAUUUUCAUCACAAGUUGGUAAAGUUUCUUUCACUUUACUAAUUUUCAUUCUUUCUUUGUUUAUUUACAAUCUAAGUUUAUCUUUUUAAAUUUUAGUCUAGUUUAAUUUUGUUGUUGUAGCCCUGUUUUUCUUGUUGUCCUCUGUUUUCAUUUUUUUUUUCAGGUAGAUACUAGUUGUGUAUGCCCAAGUGGAUACGAGACAUAGGAGGUAGGCUUGUUAAGUGUGAUACACCUCAGAAAGGAGAAUUUGAAGUAAUCUUGAAUAUCAUGGAGGCUGCACCUGAAGAUCAGCAUAGUCACCAAGGUCGUCAAGACAAUCUCAAUGAAUUCAGAUCAAUGAGGGACCGUAUGCAUCCACCUCGUAUGAGUACACCAUCAUGUAUAGUGCCCCCUACAGAGCAGCUAGUGAUCAGACCAUAUCUUGUUCCACUUCUACCAACUUUCCAUGGGAUGGAAAGUGAGAAUCCGUAUGCACACAUCAAGGAAUUUGAAGAUGUUUGUAAUACAUUCCAAGAAGGAGGAGCUUCAAUUGACUUGAUGAGGCUUAAGUUAUUUCCUUUUACUUUAAAGGAUAAGGCCAAAAUUUGGCUUAAUUCUUUAAGGCCAAGGAGUAUCCGCUCUUGGACUGAUUUACAAGCUGAGUUCCUUAAGAAAUUUUUUCCUACUCAUAGAACAAAUGGCUUGAAAAGGCAAAUUUCAAACUUCUCAGCUAAAGAGAAUGAGAAAUUCUAUGAGUGUUGGGAAAGAUACAUGGAAGCUAUAAAUGCUUGUCCUCACCAUGGCUUUGAUACUUGGCUAUUGGUGAGCUAUUUUUAUGAUGGUAUGUCCUCCUCAAUGAAGCAACUCCUCGAGACAAUGUGUGGAGGAGAUUUCAUGAGCAAAAAUCCAGAGGAAGCUAUGGAUUUCUUGAGCUAUGUAGCUGAUGUUUCAAGGGGAUGGGAUGAACCAACUAAAGGAGAAGUGGGAAAGAUGAAGUCUCAGUUGAAUGCUUACAAUGCAAAGGCUGGGAUGUAUAAUUUGAAAGAAGAUGAUGACAUGAAAGCAAAGUUGGCAGCUAUGACAAGAAGAUUGGAGGAGCUGGAGCUGAAAAGAAUGCAUGAAGUGCAAGCUGUUGCUGAAGCACCAGUGCAAGUGAAGCUGUGUCCCAAUUGUCAAUCAUUUGAACAUUUGGUGGAGGAGUGCCCUGCAAUUUCAGUUGAAAGGGAAAUGUAUAGAGAUCAAGCAAAUGUUGUUGGACAAUUUAGGCCCAAUAACAAUGCUCCUUAUGGAAAUACCUACAAUUCAAGUUGGAGGAAUCAUCCAAAUUUCUCAUAGAAGGCCAGAGCAACUCAAUACCAACAGCCGGAUCCACCAUCUCAGCAAUCUUCAAGUAUUGAACAAAUAAUAGCCAAUCUCAGCAAGGUAGUGGGAGAUUUUGUGGGAAAGCAAGAAGCCACCAAUGCUCGAGUUGAUCAAAGAAUGGAUAGAAUGGAGAGUGUGUUGAACAAAAGAAUGGAUGGAAUGCAAAAUGAUAUGAACCAAAAGUUUGAUAACAUCCAAUAUUCAAUUUCAAGGCUUACAAAUUUGAAUACACUGCAAGAAAAAGGAAGAUUUCCUUCUCAACCUAACCAAAAUCCCAAAGGUGUCCAUGAAGUGGAAAGCCAUGAGGGAGAAUCAUCACAGGUGAAAGAUGUGAAAGCUUUGAUCACUCUAAGGAGUGGUAAGAAAAUUGAGCAGCCAACACCCAUGCCACAUGUUGAGAAAGAAGAAGGGAUAAAGAAAGGAAAGGAAAUAGAAGAUAAAGACAGUGAGAUCAGUGAAGAAAAGAAGGACUCUGAUUCAACAAUCAAAGCAAUUCCAGAGAAAGAGCUUCUGAAGGAAGAAAUGCUGAAGAAAUCAACUUUUCCACCUUUUCCUCAAGCAUUACAGGGGAAAAAGGGGGUUAGAAAUGCAGCUGAAAUCCUUGAAGUCUUAAGACAAGUAAAAGUUAAUAUUCCACUGCUGGAUAUGAUCAAACAAGUUCCAACGUAUGCAAAAUUCCUAAAGGACUUGUGUACUAUCAAAAGAGGGGUUGACUGUAAACAAGAAAGCCUUCUUGACUGAGCAAGUAAGUGCAAUCUUACAAUGCAAGUCUCCUUUGAAGUACAAAGACCCUGGAAGUCCUACCAUUUCAGUCAUGAUUGGAGGAAAGGUAGUGGAGAAAGCCUUGCUAGACUUGGGAGCAAGUGUGAAUUUGCUUCCAUACUCUGUCUACAAGCAACUGGGACUUGGAGAGUUGAAGCCAACAGCAAUCACUUUAUCUUUGGCAGAUAGAUCAGUGAAAAUUCCAAGAGGAGUAAUUGAGGAUGUAUUGGUUCAAGUGGAUAAUUUCUACUAUCCAGUAGAUUUUGUUGUUCUUGAUACUGAUCCAACUGUAAAGGAAGCUAAUUUAGUUCCUAUCAUCCUUGGAAGGCCAUUUCUUGCAACUUCAAAUGCAAUCAUCAACUGUAGAAAUGGGCUUAUGCAACUCACUUUUGGUAACAUGACACUGGAUCUCAAUAUUUUCUAUAUGUCUAAAAAGCAAAUCACUCCUGAGGAAGAAGAAGGUCCAGAAGAGCUAUGUAUUAUUGAUACUUUGGUGGAGGAGCACUGCAAUCAGCAUAUGCAAGAUAAGUUGAAUGAAAGUCUUGUGGAUAUUGAGGAAGGUUUUUCUGAAUCUCCUAUUGGGCUUGCUACUCUACAAAGUUGGAGAAAGAUAGAAGGAAUUCUACCUUUGUUCAAUGAAAAAGAGGAGGCAACUGUUGAAGAAGAAAUUCCAAAACUCAAUUUGAAGCCUUUACCUGUGGAGCUGAAAUAUACAUAUCUUGAAGCAAAUAAUCAAUGUCCUGUUGUGAUAUCCUCAUCUCUGACCAGUCAUCAAGAGAAUUGUUUAAUGGAAGUUCUCAUGAGGUGUAAGAAGGCAAUAGGAUGGCAAAUAUCUGACUUGAAAGGCAUUAGUCCUUUAGUUUGUACUCAUCAUAUAUAUAUGGAGGAGGAAGCAAAGCCAAUUCGUCAAUUUCAAAGAAGGUUGAAUCCUCAUCUACAAGAGGUGGUGCGAGCUGAGGUGCUGAAGCUACUUCAAGCAGGAAUCAUUUACCCUAUUUCUGAUAGCCCUUGGGUGAGUCCUACUCAAGUGGUACCAAAGAAGUCAGGGAUCACAGUGAUUCAAAAUGAAAAAGGGGAAGAAAUUACUACACGCCUCACUUCAGGUUGGAGGGUGUGUAUUGAUUAUAGAAAGCUGAAUGCUGUCACCAGGAAGGAUCAUUUUCCAUUGCCAUUUAUUGAUCAAGUGCUGGAGAGAGUCUCUGGACAUCCAUUUUAUUGUUUCUUGGAUGGGUAUUCAGGCUAUUUUCAAAUUGAAAUUGAUUUGGCAGAUCAGGAAAAGACCACUUUUACAUGUCCAUUUGGAACAUUUGCUUAUAGAAGAAUGCCUUUUGGUUUAUGCAAUGCACCUGCUACAUUUCAAAGAUGUAUGUUGAGUAUUUUCAGUGAUAUGGUGGAGAGAAUUAUGGAGGUUUUCAUGGAUGACAUCACCGUAUAUGGAGGUACAUUUGAGGAGUGCUUGGUUAAUUUGGAAGCAGUUCUUCAUAGAUGCAUUGAAAAAGAUUUGGUGCUGAACUGGGAGAAAUGCCAUUUUAUGGUACGUCAAGGAAUUGUCCUUGGCCAUAUCAUCUCUGAAAGAGGCAUUGAAGUUGAUAAAGCAAAGGUGGAGCUUAUUGCCAAAUUACCAUCUCCAACAACUGUGAAAGGAGUAAGACAGUUCCUUGGCCAUGCAGGGUUCUAUAGGAGGUUUAUAAAAGGUUUUUCAAGUCUUUCAAAACCUCUUUGUGAGCUGUUAGCUAAGGAUGCUAAGUUUAUAUGGGAUGAAAGGUGUCAGCAUAGCUUUGAUCAACUGAAGAAGUUUUUAACAACAACUCCAAUAGUGAGAGCCCCUAACUGGCAAUUACCUUUUGAACUGAUGUGUGAUGCCAGUGACUUUGCUAUAGGAGCUGUGCUUGGCCAAAGAGAAGAUGGGAAGCCCUAUGUGAUUUACUAUGCAAGUAAAACACUAAAUGAAGCUCAGAGGAACUACACAACUACAGAGAAAGAAUUGUUAGCUGUGGUAUUUGCUUUGGACAAAUUUCGAGCUUAUUUAGUGGGGUCUUUCAUCAUUGUCUUCACUGACCAUUCAGCCUUGAAGUAUUUAUUGACAAAGCAAGAUGCAAAAGCAAGGUUGAUUAGAUGGAUUCUAUUGUUACAAGAGUUCGAUCUUCAAAUCAAAGAUAAGAAAGGAGUGGAGAAUGUAGUAGCUGACCACUUGUCAAGGUUAGUUAUAGCACAUAAUUCCCAUCCCUUGCCUAUCAAUGAUGAUUUUCCUGAAGAAUCACUCAUGUUCCUAGUGAAAACUCCUUGGUAUGCUCAUAUUGCUAAUUAUUUAGUAACUGGGGAAAUUCCAAGUGAGUGGAAUGCACAGGACAGGAAGCACUUCUUUGCCAAAAUUCAUGCUUAUUAUUGGGAAGAGCCCUUUCUCUUUAAGUAUUGUGCAGAUCAGAUUAUUAGGAAGUGUGUCCCUGAAGAUGAGCAGCAAGGGAUUCUAUCUCAGUGUCAUGAGAAUGCAUGUGGAGGCCACUUUGCCUCUCAGAAAACAGCCAUGAAGGUAUUACAAUCAGGGUUUACUUGGCCAUCUCUUUUCAAAGAUGCCCACAUCAUGUGUAGAAAUUGUGAUAGAUGCCAAAGGCUUGGAAAGCUAACAAAAAGAAAUCAAAUGCCUAUGAACCCCAUUCUGAUAGUUGAGAUAUUUGAUGUUUAGGGCAUUGACUUCAUGGGACCUUUCCCAAUGUCUUUUGGUAAUUCUUACAUUUUGGUGGGGGUAAAUUAUGUUUCUAAAUGGGUUGAGGCAAUCCCCUGUAAGCAAAAUGAUCACAGGGUGGUUCUCAAGUUUCUUAAAGAGAACAUUUUCUCAAGAUUUGGGGUGCCCAAGGCCAUAAUCAGUGAUGGAGGAGCUCAUUUUUGCAACAAACCUUUUGAAGCUCUGUUAUCCAAGUAUGGAGUGAAGCAUAAGGUAGCCACACCUUAUCAUCCUCAGACAUCCGGGCAAGUUGAGCUAGCUAACAGGGAAAUAAAGAACAUUUUGAUGAAAGUGGUGAAUUCCAACAGAAAAGAUUGGUCUAUUAGGCUUCAUGAUUCAUUGUGGGCAUAUAGAACAGCUUAUAAAACUAUUCUUGGGAUGUCUCCCUAUCGUCUUGUCUAUGGCAAAGCAUGCCAUCUCCCUGUGGAAGUUGAAUACAAAGCUUGGUGGGCAAUAAAGAAGCUGAAUAUGGACUUGAUCAAGGCCGGAGAAAAGAGAUUUCUAGACCUUAAUGAGAUGGAGGAAUUAAGAAAUAAUGCUUAUAUCAAUUCCAAAGUUGCAAAACAGAGGAUGAAGAAGUGGCAUGAUCAACUCAUCUCCAACAAGGAAUUUCAGGAAGGGCAAAAAGUUUUGAUGUAUGACACAAGACUCCAUAUCUUUCCUGGGAAGCUCAAAUCAAGGUGGAUUGGUCCAUUUGUUAUUCACCGAGUAUAUUCCAAUGGAGUGGUGGACUUAUUGAAUUCCAAUGGCAAGGAUAGCUUUAAAGUCAAUGGAUAUCGUCUCAAGCCGUUCAUGGAGUCAUUCAAAUCAGAAAAGGAGGCAAUCAACCUCCUUGAACCUCAAAAAGCCUAAGUGAAAAGGGUUUGCUGGACGUGGCUUUACCACAGUCCAAAAUUUUUGUAAAUUUUGUAAAUUUUCAAGUUGUUUCUAUACUUUUGAUUUUAGUUUUUGAUCUUAAAUCAUGUUUUUAGGUGUGUUUUAAUCGUUUUAAAUGAUCCCAGGUGGAAGAAAUUUCAAGGGGAUUGAAAGAAAAAAAAUCGGGUCGAAAUUGGAGCCGAAACAGAGCAAAAACAGGGGAAAAACAGAGCUCUGCGAAAUUUCGCAGGGUGAAGGAAACCUCUGCGAAAUGAGCAUUUUGUUGCGAAACCAUUCCGCAGCACUGUAGAAGCCUCUGCGAGUGUAUUUCGCAGCUGCGAAAGUGAAUUUGGCACACGAGUGCCACUUCGCAGUACAGUAGCAUCCAUUUGGCAGCUGCGAAACUCAUUGCGAAAUGGAAAAGCGUGAUUUCGCACCAAAAGUCCCAUUCCGCAGGGUAUUUCGCAAUUGCGAAAGUGGUUUUGGCACACGAGUGCCACUCCGCAGCACAGUAACAUCAAUUUCGCAGCUGCGAAACUCACUGCGAAGUUGCUGCGAAAAUGGCAAGUUGCUGCGAAAUUGGCGUUUAGUUGCGAAACUUAAACUGACCCCUGAGCUUCCGUUUUUCCUAUUUAUACCGGUCAAAAGUGCUGCGAAAAGGGUUUCAAAAAUCAGAGCACCAUUCUCGCAGCCCCUUCAUCUUCUUCGCCAAGCCACGCCGUCCGAACCUCCGGUCGUCUUCUCCGUUUAGCAGCGCCGGCCAAAGAUCGAUAUUCCAAAAUGGCACGAACGCGAGGGGCAAAAUCUUCAUCCCCUUCGAAUCGCAAAAGGAGUCUGCGAAAGGAGCCAAGUCCAGGUUCUGCUCCAGAACCUGCUCCAAAGCCUUCGCCGUCGAGACCACAACCUUCUCCAGUGAAGCCGGCGCCACUAAAGCCGCCGGCAAGACGAUAUUUGACAAGGUCAGGCGGUUGGCCAUUGAAGAAGAAGCCCAGGGUUGAGAGCUCUGAACCAAUUGAUUUGACUGAGCAAUCCCCUGAGCAGUCCCCAAAUCCUUCACCAGUUCAAACUCCAGUGCCGUCACCGGUUCCCUCGCCAAUUCCCUCACCUGAAGCAACUCCAAUUCCAUCGUCGGUACCAUCUCCGGCACCCCAAGAAAAAGCUCAGGAGCCUCAAGCGCCAAUUCCAGAGCCCCAAAUUGCAGCUGAAGCACCUCUGGAAGAAGUGAUCCGAAGGCCAAUGCUGCCCCAGCCCCCAAUCGAAGGAAACUUGGAUUGUCGAACACGGGCAUUCCAUUCUGAGCUUUGCUUCGAUUUAACAGCAUUCAGAGUGAGGCCAGAGCUUGCCCAAUCCUUCCAGCUGCUGAGGAGAUAUCAUAUGGAGCAUCUGCUAGCUCCAAGGGAUUUUUUCUAUCCCCGGGUAGUCACGGACUUCUACCAGACCAUGACAACCAAAGAAGUAAGAAAUCCAACUCUGAUCCAUUUCAUAAUUGAUGGAAGGCAUGGUAUUUUGGGAGCAAGACACAUUGCUGAAGCUCUGCAAAUUCCUUUUGAGCCAACCCAAUUCGACAAUUUUAAAGCUUGGGUAAAUCCUACUGAGUUAGAGAUGGUUCGCACACUAACCAGAGGAGCUGCAAAUCGAUCACACCUGUUGAGGGGGGAGCUACCUCCAGUGAUGUUUUUGAUUGAUGCCUUUUUGAGGCAUAAUAUCUAUCCCCUGCAGCAUUGGACCCAAAGAAGGGGAAUUCUCCUGGAAGCUUUGUACAAGAUGUCAGAAGGAUUCUUCUUUGGGCCCCAUCAUCUUAUCAUGGCAGCCCUUCUAUACUUUGAGGAAAAGGUUCACAAGAAGAAACUUCAAAGAGCAGAUUGCAUUCCACUCCUCUUCCCAAGGCUGCUAUGCCAAGUUUUGGAGCAUCUCGGAUACCCCUCUGAGCCUCAGCAGGAAAGAAAGAGAAUAUGCCGUGAGCCAUUUACUCUUGAUAAAUGGAAUAAUAUGACGGCCUACAAAAUUGAUCAGCCUGGGCAGCCUCAGCCAGCAGCAAGGAGAGCCUCCCCAAGACAUGCACCUGAAGGUAUAACACUUGCUACUCCUGCCAUCCCUCGAGCUUCACCAGCUGCACCUGCUGCAUCACAGCCAUCCACAUCAGCUGAGCCGAGGAUGGCCAUCCCUAUAUCCGAAUAUCGAGAGCUGUGCCGAGCAUUGGAGACUCUUACAGCUUCCCAGAGCAAUCUUGCUCAAGAGUUGGCAGCCAUCAAAGCAUGCCAGGAGCAGAUGUUAGCCUCUCAGGCUCAACAAGCUGCCAUCCUAAGGCAGCUUCAAGUCCAUUUCGAUCUGCCACAAGCUGUAGAGCCCUCCACUGAGACUCCACCAGAGCCACACUCUCAGCCUUCAGAGUCUCUUCCUCCAGAGCCAGAAGCCCCAACUGAUCCACCUACAGAGGAGGCGGAUCCUUCUGCUUAGCACCAUCACCCCACUCAUCAGACAUUAUAUAUAUUUGCUGUUUAUGUUUUUAUGCAUGUUUGUUUUGUUUUAGUUGAAAUGAAAUCCCAGUAUUUUGGUACUAUAUAUGGGAUUCCUUGUGAUUACUUGUCCUUAGCAUUGUACUCGAAUGAAUUGAAAGUAAUACAAGUUGAAUUUUUCUUGUUAAAAGUUAGCAUUAAAAUUCUCCUUAUUUCCUUUUCUCACAUAUUCUAUUCUUUUUGAAACAUGUGGUUUUCCCCAAUCAAUAUUCGAAUUUGAUAUCAGCAUGGAGGUACCACUUCCUCCCUUUUAUUACAGUCACUCAAAUCACAUUGAGGACAAUGCUCAGUUCGGUUGGGGGGUAUGAGGAAGGAAGUAUUCUAAAUCUUUUUGGUAUUGCAAUUAUAUUGGUUAAUUAGUUGUAGAUUUUACGUUUUACUCUUGUUACUCUAUUCUCCAUGAAUUUUGAGGAAAAAUUUUCAAAUUAAACCAAGAGAAAUUGAACUGUUGUUUUUCACUUGACUUAGAGUAUGGAUUAUGCUUACUAAAGUGGUUCAAUUGUUGAAACUUCUACUGAAAUUGAAUUGAGUUCUUCCAUUUUAAGCUAUCCACACACUGUGCACAUUAGUUUCUGAUUAUAAGAUGAAAAGCUAUUUCCCUCUUGACUUAGGAUAAUUUUGGGACUUGGUAUAUUUGACCUCAUUUGAUAAAAAUUGAAACACCCUGCAAAAGGCCAAUGAGCCUUUGAAAUAAAGAAAGAUGUUUGCUUGCCUUGAAACCCGAGCAAGGUCUGAGGGGCAUAUGGUGAAAGCCUUUAAAGCCUGGUGCCCUAAGCCUUAAUUGGUUGGGAGUCACCGACCUCAAUGCUCGUUACAAGGGUGAAUAGGUAGAGCUAGCAUAUGGUAGAUGCUUGGGUAUUAGAAAUUCAUUCUUAAAAGUCCAGGGAAAAAUCCGAGGAGUUAGUGGUUGAAAGAUCCUUAAAACUUGGUGCCCUAAACCUUAAUUGGUUGGGAGUCAUCGAUGGACCCCCAUUACAUGGACAAGUCAGAAAGAGUACCCCAUAAAGCUACUUUAAAAAAAAAAAAAAAAAAAAAAAAAAGAUGAUGAAAGUGUGUUCUUUUCUUAUUGAUUUUGGUCAGAUUGCUAAAGUGUUGAAAAGAGAUAGGUUGGGGGGGGAGACUAGUUUAGCAUAUUAUUCUCGGAAUCUAAGGAACCAAUACACAUAGAUUUUUGUGGAAGAUUGAAGUUUAGUUCUUAGAAAGUGAAAUGAUUUUAAAACUUCAGUUUGCAUAAUGCACUCCCUUGAUUGACAGUGUUUAGCAUAGGUGUUAUGACUCUUGUUGAGAUUUGGGUUUGUAUUUCUUUAAUGAUUCAUGUGAGAAGUAAAUCAUCAUGCCACUUAAGAAUUAUUUUCCUUUCAGCAUGAUGUUGUAAAUUUUAGAUUAGUUUGCUAUUUAUUUUUAUUUUUCUCUCCUUUAUUGCUAAGGGACUAGCAAUAUGUCGGUUGGGGGGAGUGAUUACUACUCAAAAAGUGCUAUUUGAUAGCCUUUAAUUAAUCCUUUUUAACACUUUUGAGUAGUAGUUUAGGCCUUUUAACUCAAUUGGCAUGUUAAGGAUCCUUUAAAGCAAUUUUGAUCACUUUGUGCAAGUUUUGGUGUUUUUGUUAGUAUUUCGAUCACCAAAGCAAGUCAAGAAUGAGGAGAGCUAUGAGGAAUCUUGGGCAAAGCUUAGAAUUCAAUUGCCAAGAGUGAAUCCGGAUUGCAAGGAGAAAAAGCAAAGAGGAUCAGUCAUGGAGCAUAUUCUUGAUGACAGUCGUAGCAGCCACUUUUGGAGCACUUUCUGAAGUCCAAAUGAUGCAAGCUAUAUACCAUUUCAAAGCUCAGGAAGUCAACAAUCCAAUGCUUCAAACGGUGUGCGAUUCGGAAUUGAAACGAAGAAGUUGCAGCCAUUACAAGCCAGACACUCUAAAGUGUUGCGGAAUCAGCCAUGUGUUGCGAGAAUUUCGCAGCACUUUUGUACAGUAAGGUGUUUCUCCUUCUAACGAUGCACGAACCAUGCCGCGAGAAGGGAGCUGGAAACUUCAAGAUGGAAGCCAACUUGGCAGCCUAGUGAAGAUAGCUCGGUCUUGCAAGAUAAUUUCGCAGCCCUCUUGGGUGUCUGCGAAAUUUCGCAGGCCUCAUUUUUCACCUGCGAAAUGGCUCCUGAAGCCUCCCGAAGCUUGCUACCGACAUUGGGAGAUAUUUUCCAUUAGAUUUUUGUUGUCUAAAUCCCAAAAUACUCCUUGUAAACCACCAAUUACAUGAUUCCUUAGUUUUUAAGUUAGUAAAAAGACCAAAUAUCUUUGUAACAAUUAGUUUUAUAUUUUGUUGUUAUAAAUACCUCUCGGGAGCCUGUUCUCAGGGAGGAGUUCCUUCUGUAAACGUUUGGUAAGCAAGUAAAGUCUAUUUUCUUUCUACUGCCUUACCUUCUCACUUUGUAUUUUCAUUUUAUUUCUAAGUUAUGAAUUCUCUGAGGAGUUUUCCCCAAAGAAUGAGUAACUAAACCUCCAAUUCCUUGGAGCUAAGGUUGCCGGGGAAGGUUCCAAGUGCAAGAAUGCAAAGCUCUGUGGUUUUAGCUAGUAAUGAAGAGGAAGUGAAAUCCUUUAGUGAUUUCAAUGUUUUUAGUUAACUUAAAACACUUUGGAGUCACCUGGGCCAACACUUGGUAAGGCAAGUGAUUUCCAACCAUGGAAAUGCACUAGUUUACCCCUUGCGAGCCUCUGGUAGGUGACUUCAAGGUAGGAUUUUCUGGAAUUACCAACACUUGGUAAGCUUUUGGACUCCUAGGAGACAUCCAUUAGUUAUCUCUUGCGAGUUUGUGAAGGGAAUCCAAGGUUAAAGAUCACCUUGAAUGGUAAGUGCUCGUGAGAGGCAUGAACCAUUGCAAGUUGUAUCAGUGAGAGAAUUAAAGUGAAAUCUAAUUGAAGGAGUCUUUGUACAUCACCGGUUAGAGAAUUGACUAUAAGUUGAAUCUCUAAUGCGAGGAAAUGAACCAACUGACCAGAGCCGUGUCUUUUGCAUGAGGAACCACCCCAGUGAACCUAAAUCUCCAAGGAAUGUUUUUUUCUUCCUAAAUUAUUCCAAACUUCUGUUAAGUUAGUUAGUUUAAAUCUCAACCUUUACAAAUCAAAGUUUGUGUUUUAUUCCUUAAGCUAACCGUGAAAUGAAACAAGACCAAUUCACUUGGAAUUGGUAUCAUUGAUUGCCUGCAAAUCAUUCCCAAUGAACGAUCCUAGAGCCACUAUACUAUAGUAGCUUUGUAUUUACUACCCUAGUGUAUGGUGUUAUAGGUAUAAAUUUUGUUGAUCACUUCCUCAAUCAAGGAGCACCAGCUGAACACAAAUCAGCUGAGACACCAAUUAGGCAUGAGUCAGUCAUCUCCAUUAUUGUUUUAUUUUUUCUUUCCACCACCCCAUUUUGUUGUGGGGUGUAUGGUGCAAUGAGCUGGUGAUCUAUGCCUGCAUCUUCACAAAAUUUGUUGAAUUUUUCUGAAGUAUAUUCUGUACCAUUAUUCGACCUUAUAACCUUGAUUCUGUAUUCACUUUGAUUUUCAACCAUGGCCUUAUAUCUCAAAAACACAUCAGCAACCUCAGCUUUGUAAGUGAGAAAAUAAAUCCAACAAAAUCUUGUGAAGUCAUCAAUAAAUGCAAUAUAGUACUUACUCCCUUUCAAAGAUGGUGUCUUUUGAGGUCCACUCACAUCUGUGUGAACCAAUUGUAGUUUCUGUGUUGAUUUCCAUGCUGCUUUUUGAGGAAAAGGAAGUCUUGUUUGCUUCCCAUAUUGAUAGGCUGCACAUAUAGGAAGUUCUUCUUCCAAAUCAGGGAGUCCUUCUACAAUCUAAUUCUUCUUCAUGUAGAGCACGGUAUUGUGGUGGAAAUGCCCUAAUCUUUUAUGCCAAAGCAUUGUAUUGUUCUCGUGUUGUGCAGCAGUAAUUUGCUCAUCUUCUAACAUAUUUAAGGCAAAACUUUUGCCUUUCAUUUUUAUGUUGAACACCUCUUUGCCUUCAGCAUCCUUGAUUAUGCAAUUUUUGUCUUCAAAACAAACUUUAAACCCUUUCUCAACAAGCUGUCCAACACUUAGCAAAUUUUGGUCAAUGUCAGGCACAAACAAAACAUCAGAAAUGAGCUUUAAACCUGUUAGGCUUUCAAUAGCUAAUGUUCUUUUACCUUUUACUGGAAUAUACUCACCAUUUCCUAUUCUAACUUUGGAAAUAGUUGUCCUAUCAAUCUCCCUAAAGCGAUCUUGAUCAUGUCAUGUGGUUUGUGCAACCACUGUCCACGAGCCAGCUUUCAGAGGUGCUACCGUUUGCAAAACAUGUUGCUGAAAAUAGUUGUUCCUCCUGGUAUUGUUCAGCUGCUACAUUGGUUUCUCCCUGCUGCUGCUGAGUUCUACAGAUCCUUUCUAUGUGUCCAUGUCUACCACAUUUGUUGCAUUUCACAUCUGGUCUCCACCAACAUUUUUGUUGAGGAUGAUUUGUUUUCUUGCAAUGAGGACAGGGUGGAUAGGUUCCAGUUUUUUUAUUGUUGUUGUUGCUUGGCUUAUUGUUGUUCUUUUUGUUCUUCCUCCUUCUUGUGUUACCUUCAUUGGUCUGUGUCUUUGCUUGAAAAGCUCCUUCUACAGAACUUCCUUGCCUCAUGAGUCUUCUUUGUUCCAAAGCUUGUAAAGCAUUUAGUAGUUCUGCCAAGGUGAUACUUGACAAAUCUUUUGUGUUUUCCAAAGAAGAAAUUGUAGCUUCAUAUUUUUCAGGAAUUGUGACAAAAUUGUUUUGAACAACUCUUUCAUCAGAAAACUCUUUACCUAGCAACCUCACCUUGUUUGCUAUGGUAAGAAGUUGUUCUGCAUAAUCUUUUAUGGUUUGAGACUCUUUCAUCCUCACCAUUUCAAAUUCUCGAAUUAGAUUCAUUACCUGCACAUUUCUGACUCUUUCAUUGCCUUGAUAUUCUUCCCGUAGAUGCUUCCAGAUUUCUGCAACAGAUUCAAGUUGCAUGAUUCUGGUGAGAAUUAAUGGUGAGACUACAGAAAAUAAGCAAGCCUUGGCCUUAGCCUUCCUCGUCUUUUUCUCCUUAUGGUUUUUCAUCUGUGACACAGUUGGAUUGGCUCCAAGUGGAGAAAUUUCAUAAUCUUCCUCUAUUGCUUCCCAGACAUCAAGAGCCUGUAGAUGAACAGUCAUCCUGACAGCCUAAGUUUGGUAAUUUUCUCCAUUGAAGACUAGUGGUGCUGCUGUGAAGCUUGCUUCUUCCAUUUCUGCAAGGUUUUCAGAUUCAGGUUUGGUAUACGGUGUUUAGGCUCACACACCUCACUGGUCCCUCAAGACAAAAAUUGCUCUGAUACCAAACUGUUGGAAGCAGGCGAGGUUAACACACCAAGCAACAGAGAACAGAGAUAUGCUGCUACUGAUCUAUAUUUUUUAUUUGAUCAUAAGGCUGAAUUUAUACAGAUUGUGUAACAUAUAUGACCUCAAAAAAAGCAUCAAAUCAAGCUACUUGUUGAACAAAAAACUACCUCCUACAAAAUAGCAUCAGAAUUUAACUUAAAAGCAAAAACAUAAUAAUAGCAACAGCAAAAACAGAAACAUAAAAAUAGCUUCAACAUUCUAGUAAUCUCAUUGACUUCAAUUGCAUGUGGUUGACGAUUUCAGCCUUUUCCUCAGCAGCUACUAAGGCAUAACUCUCAACAGGGCCUCUUAAUUUCCAUUCUGGCAUCUAUAUGACCUGAUAAAUAGAAAGAAAAAAAAACAGAAGAAAAGCGGCACCUGGGUUCAUAGUAAGCAUCAAGACAGGAUGCUGAAAGAAGGGAGAGAGGAGAUUGCAAGUCCAAUCCUGAUAAAAUAUCAACAAAGAGUAUUAAAUGGGGCCAACAUAAAGACCCAUUAAGGUCAGCAGAUGGCAUGGCAUUUUUCUCCUUAAGUUUUCCAUGAUUAGGCUUGAAGUCAAAAUUUCACAUGUAAAUUUGUAUUUCUACAUUUCCCACUGACGACACCCAACUUCAACUUGAGUUAGAAUAACAUUGUGUGAACUUAUCUGGCCCUCAAAAUUUACUGUGAAGUGCUUUCUGCGUGUGAAGAUUCAGAAAAGCACCAAGGGAACAUGUAUGGUCUGCCUUUUUCUGAUGUUAUGUUUGUCUCUAAUUCUGUUCCAUGUCAUGGUAAAUGUUCACAUUGCUUGUAUGGAACACACCAGGAUCACUUUUUCAGGUUUAGGGGGAUACAAAAGGCUUCAUAUUGGGUUCAAUGCUUUUAAUGUGUUCAUUGGACAAAUCUGAAUUAUCAUACGCAUUUAGAUAAGAACAAUAAUGUGAAACCCUAGUUACACCUCCCCUGCAUAACCCCAACCCUGCUUGCUCUAUUUCAGUUUACUCACAAGUUUUACUGGUUCUUAUAAGUCAAGAAAAGGCAACUGAUGUUGGAUCGACUCUCUUCCAUGUAAAAAAUGCAACUUUUAUACAUAUAAAAGAACUUCUUCCCCUCACCAAUGUGGGAUUUCAUAGAUUUAUUCUGGAAACACAUCAAAGGAACAUCUUUUCUCUUGGGUGACCCUAAGUGGUGAGUCAGAUCAUUUGCAUGCCAUUGAGUUGCACAGUUGGAUAAAUGCACCUGCCUCCUGGGCUCCAGAGUUAAAAGGGUGGAUCCCUGGAUUGCAACCCUCUUGGCAUCUUGGUUUCUAUUCCAACAUCCACAUGACUUGACAAAACAAAAAACAGAAUAAAAUCAGCACUAUAUUCAUGCUAAGCACCAAUACAUGAUGGAAAUCAUUGCUUAAAGAUUUGGGGUCGUUUUAGGUUUUGACUGCCUCCUACCACCUCACCUAAUGACAAGUUUUUAUGCUUACAAAUCAAAUAUCGUUCUUCAUUAUAUUAAAAUCAUUUUAAGAUUUCAGAUCCAUCUGCUAAUUAUGAUUAUGAUAACAUUUAUUCACCUGUGCUUCUCAUUUUCGACACACAAGGCAUCUAGGUUUGCAGGAUUUCCUUAUUAGAUGAGAUAAAUGAGUACGUAUGGUUAUGUAUCCAGCAUUCAUUAACCAUGGUAUGUGACAUUUAGAAUUAAGAUAGCAAGCAAACUUUCCCUGCAGCUAGAGUAAAUUGUGAUUUCUUAGCCUCUAUGAGUGGUUCCCAAAUCAAAUUAACAUAGUGAAAUAUACGUAGUCCAGUGAAAGGAAAUGUAAAUUAUAAACUAACAGCACUACACUACUGGUAACAAUCGAUACUCUCUAUAUAAUGCAAUAAACAAUGUCACAAUUGCCUACAAGCAAGGCACAAACACUAGAACAAGUAAAGCACAAACCUUUCCCAACAGUUCCCAGUGACUGAUGCAUAUCAUACCCUCAACUCACAGAAGGGGAUGAUAUCAGUGCACUGCAGCACUUAUUUUACACAUACUACCACUACUACUACUACUACUACUACUCAUUAGCCAAAGUCACUCAGUUGGGAUGAGUGUGAGGUAGAGGUUUGUGGGGUGCUAUGUGGAAAGGAGUUUGGCUUCUUCUCAGGAGAUGGUAGCUUCUUUGCAGGAGUUGAAGGAGGCUUAAUCUUCUGUGGUGGAUUGAUUGUAUGAGUCUUUGGCACUCUCUUCUCUAGUACAGGUGAAUACCCAGGGGUGCAUCCAUAAUGCGGUGGCUUCUAUCCCUUAGGUGGUUUGCCAAAUUCAAAAUCGAAGGAUUUUUUUUUUUUAAGUAUACGUAUCUUUGAAAGCUUUUAUUUUGUAUGGCAAAUGGAAUGAGAGGAGCAGUCAUAUUCUAUUUGGCCAGAGCAACAUAUCACAAAUGAACAAGCUAUUUACUGCCACACUGGGCAAAACAUACAUAAUCCUUGUACUUCAAACAUCCAUGAAUUCUCAUCAUUUUCAGGACACGUUGCAUGGUCUAUCAUUCUAUAUGUCGGCAUAGUAAGUGCAGCUAAUAAGCCUAUUCAGAGCUGAAAUUCAAAAUCUAUUCACAGGAUAAUGACCUUAUUAUUGGAUUUUGCUCACUGUCAUACACACAUAUCAGAUAAAGCCCCACAUGCUCAUAAGCUACAAGCAACCUACAAGCACUAAAAUGAGUGUUAGACGUAUGAAACAUUCCCCAAUACUAGUAGUAUUACCUGUUCCAUAGAACACUAAAUUAGAAGAGAGAAGAUGUGAGACUCCAGCUUUUCUUUCUACAUAUUACUCAUAUCAAGUUGGAAUAGUUAGGCGGUAGAGGCUUGGGGUGGCUUGUGUAGGGGACUAGGCAGCUUCUCUCAGGAGUUGAUUUCGUCUUAUUCUGGAUGUCCAGGUUUCGUCCUUUCGAAUUUCCCAUGCAAAUCAGCAUUCUCCUUGGGAAACUUCACUCCGUUGGGAAACUUGUGUGAAUCUUUGGCAUUCUCUACCAGAGAAGGCCCAGGGCAGUGACCAUAAGGUGGUGGCCUUUUUUCAGGUGGUGGCUCCUCUCCCACUGGAGGCUUGUGGUAAUCAGCAAGAGAGGCAGUGGAGAGAAUCAUCACCCCAAGGAACAGCACUAGCAAGUAUUUGUGAGCCAUAUUUGGGAUCUGAUGAUGAAGACUAGAAGAUAGGAGUUGCCUCAUAUAAUGGGUUGGAGACUAUAUCUCAAGGGGACGUGUAUUUAUGCAUAUGAUCUAUAUAGGACCAUCCUCCUAAUAUUUUCAAAAUAAUGUUAUUGUCUCUCUUGGGUGACAGUUUGAUUUGGUCUAUUUCCAUGCCACUGAGUAGAAAAGUUUGACAAUUGGCUACACCACCUACCUGGAUUACAUGGUUGAAAGUGAAGAUCAGUACAGUGUGAUCACACUUGACCUCUUGUUCCCCAUUCCAGUAUCUAAUUAACCUGACAAAAGUAAAAGGAAAGGAAAAAGGGAAAAAAUAGAAUAAUGUUCAAAUAAAAACGAGAAAAAAUAGCAUAAUGUUGAUGAAUCAUGAUAAGCAUCAAGGCAUGAUAGUGAGAGAGAGGAAAGAAGACAGUGUAAUUUGCAAUCCUGAUAAUCAUUAUAUAGCAGUAACUUUAAUCAUUUUUCUAUCACAGGGAACAUGACACUCAUCUUCCUAUGGAGAUAUUGCAUAAGUUUUUUUCUUUGUAUGUCAACACUAACCAAUGAAGCAUGUUAGCUGGUUUGAAACUGAAACUGUAGCCCUCUGUUUGGUUCUUGAAAAACUUGAGAGAAAAUGGAAGUAAAGUUAAAAGGAAAGAAAAAGUGAAAAAAAAUAAAAAUAGAUUGAAAGUUAACAAAUUAUUUUUACAUGUUCCCUCAAAUUUCUUUCACUUAUUUUUCCUUUUCUAUAUAAAGAUUAAAUGAUUUAAAAAUCAUAAAUUUCUAACUAAUUAUAACUAUAUUUGAUUUUCUUUCAUAUUUUCCAAGAUAAAGUCAGACAUGAGAAAAUCAUUUUCCUUAAAAAAGAAAUUCUUUCCUUUACAGUUUCUUAGAACCAAACCUGGCACAAAAGUCCAAAUUGGGGUUUCUCCAUGUUCCAUUUUUUAUGGCUACCUUUAUGGACCAUAUAAUAUAGAAUGUACUUCUGCAUACCUUCAAGAUCAAGCUGAACUAUAAGAAAAAGACAAGCCAUGGCCCACGGAGCAGGGAUACCAAGCUGCCUUCUCCUAGAUUAAGUUCCAAGAUUUCAGUCUUCAAACCUGCUAAAAGCUAAAGGCAUGUUUCCAGCCUGCGGCAGAUAACAUGCACUGUCCAACAAUAAAUUGCAAACACAUUCGAUGCAGUUUAUUAGUACAAUAAGAUUAAAUCCACCAAAUCUUUUACAGUUCAACCAACACUUGAACUAGUAGCUAGCUUCACUACUGGGUAAUAAUAUAUAAACCAAACUCUUGAUAGGAACCAACCUAUCGCAGAUCGAACUUCUUACAUCCACCAUGAAUUACUGAACCAAAAGAAGAAUCGAAGAGACUGCCAAGGAGGAAAGCCUUCCUAUAACUAGAUAUUUAUAUUCCAAAUUAGGGAGAGCACCCACUGCCCAGGCCUCGCCCAGCAUAAACAGAUAGUAUACAUAUACAUGCAAAAAGCUCCAACCUUCAAGAUUUUAACUAUUAACUUAACACAAUUAAAAAUGUAUCCAAAAAGCAAAUCCCCUUGAACUCCUGAAGCAAUUACUCCAACCAAAUAAAGAUUUUAAGAGUUCCAUGUUCAUAUCCUGCAAGGAAAUCAUUCAAUGUUCAGACCUCUAAUUUCUGUCUUUCUAAAUGCCCAGCCAAAAGGCAUAAAGUAUCAUCCAAAUUGGAUGCACAGCAUAUGUUCUUAAAUCAUGGGAUUUCACCAUAAGUUACUACACUCUAACAGGGCCCAGAAAUUGACCUCCAGAUAUGCCUAUCAAAAAAUUAUCCCCACAUACAUUUUUCUGCUGAAAAGACAAUAUUGUUACAUUUGACAUUCAACCACUACUUGAACUCAACAACCAGGGAAAAGAAUAUAGUAUUUCUACCAAUGAGGAUGAGAGGGGCUGGUGAAUUAACAGGUAAAAGUUUGUUUUGGGUUCAUUGUUUGCAUAAUAAUGUAAAAAUGGAGUAGUAUAUUAUAAAUUAAUGUAAAAAUGGAUUAGCAUAACAUAAAUUGCCAUAAGAGAACCACAAACUACAAAGAAACUUAUUUUCCAAACAAGGAAAAUUAUUCAUAGCCAUUAUUACAUAAGAAAGGAAAUUGAUAAAAUUAUUAUCCAGUUCCCCAUCAGGAAAUAUGAAAGUACUCCUAAAAGCCUCAAUUCUAACCAGAAAACCAUAGAAAUGUAUUAGAAAUAUUGUACAGGGUUCUCUCCAAUAUUAGCUUCAGUUGCUAAGGAGAUCAGAACCUUGAAAGUAAGUCACAAAGGUCGUGUGGGUUUCCCAGAGUCUUCAACAACCAGUAUUCACAUAUGUACACAUUAAAAUUAAAUAAAGCAGGUAUCAAUUCCACAGGCUUUAAGAUUUGAAUUGCUUCUCCCUGGAAUCAUACACCACUCAUAUUGUCACUGACUUUCAAUUACUUCUCCCUGCGAUCAUAUGCCACUCAUAUUGUCACUGCCUUAGGGAACAAAGUGAAAAUCUGCAAUUUCAAUUAAUUCCAACAUAAAAAUAAAAAUCAAUCCUCAAAAAAUGGAUUGCCAGGAGGUAAAUAUAAUAGAAGACGAACAACUCUCACAACCAAGUUAAAGAAACCAGCCGCUAGGUACCUUUGAGUUCUAUACUACCAGGAACAAAUUGGAUGAGAUUAUUUAAAGGCUAUUCCACAGUGGAAAUUCAUUCGUUCAAAAAACAUUUGUCAUGCAUAUAGGCAAUCUAUCCUAUGCAUUCAUACAUCAUGGUCUCAUGCAAUCUUAAUAAAAGUGGUCCUGGAAAAAGAGAGAAAAAAGUAAUUACAAGCCUGUGCGACCAGAUUUCUUUUGUUUUUUUUUUUUUUUUCCUUUGCCAAACAACCAUGUUCAUAGUUUCAGAAGUUCAUUCUGUCUUUAAGAGACCAUGGCAGUGACUUGGCCAUUCAGCUAAGANNNNNNNNNNNNNNNNNNNNNNNNNNNNNNNNNNNNNNNNNNNNNNNNNNNNNNNNNNNNNNNNNNNNNNNNNNNNNNNNNNNNNNNNNNNNNNNNNNNNUCACCAAGGACUCCUCAACCUCAAAAUAAUAGAGAAAGUCUAGGACACCAUGUCACUACUGAGGACAACCCAACACCACAACAUUUCAGUCCGUUCAAAAAGAGUAAUUGGAAUUGUUGCAAAAAAUGUUCAACUAGUCCCAACAGGAGGCAAAUUCCUCCAUUUCUUCAUCGGGUCCGGAUCCUUUGCUCAAAAAGGUAAUUUUCUUACUGCCCUAAAAGAAAAAGGGAAAAUGUGAGUCAUUGGAUUGUUGACUCAGGAGCUUUUGAUCACAUGACUAGAGUGCCACAAUUUUUCAAAAUUAUACACCUUGUUUUGGGGAUGAUACAAUUCGUAUGGCUGAUGGUUCUCUCUCAAAGGUGACUGGUACAAGUUUUAUUGUCAUCUCUAAGGACCUAACUCUUGACUCUAUUCUUUUGGUUCCAAACUUGGAUUGCAAUCUAUUGUCCAUUAGUAAACUCACUUAUGAAAAGAACUAUGUUACUAAAUUUUUCCCAAACCAUUGUGUUUUUUAGAAUUUGAAUUCGGGGAAGACGAUUGGCAAUGUUGAAGUGUGUUUAGGACUCUAUGCCUUCAAAGUGAAUUAUUAUAUUGAAAGACAAUCUUAACCAACAGUUGGUGAAAAAUGGUGUCUUUUUGUCUUUAGUUCUAAUAAAGAUAGUGAUGUUAUGUUAUAGCACUAUUGUCUAGGACAUCCUAGUUUCUUAUAUCUCAAAAAACUCUUUCCAUGGUUUUCAGUGUGAAAUUUGUCAACUAUCCAAGCAUCUUUGCAAGCCCUAUCCAUAGUUUUAAAAGACUUAAGGCACACCAAGACGCAAAGUCCUCUUGGAGCCUUAGGCGCAAGGCACACCUAAGGCGCGAACUUUAGUAAAGUGAGGUGCAUCCUGUUUUACAUAUAUAUUUUUAUAUAAUACAAUCAAGUGCCCGAAAAUUUUCCUCUAAUUUUCCCCUUCUUCUUCAUCCUCUUCUCUUCUUCACAUUGUUCGGGAGGCUAGGACAUUUUUUUUUUUUUACAUGUCUAAAACAAGCAUAUAUUGGGUUUUGGAAGAAGAACAAGCCAAAAUGACAUCGUUUUGGAGCCUAAUCUUUUAAAUAAAUAAAUAAAUAAAUAAAAACCAGCCAAAAAUGACACCGUUUUGGCCCCUGUUCUUUUAAAAGAACAAACCAAACAACGUCAUUUUGAUCUCAGGAAAUUAAAAAAACAAAACCCUCGUCAUUCUCCCUUUGCUACUCUACAACUCAUCGUCAAAGGGUAAAAAGAUGACCAAAAGAAGAAGAAGAAAAAAAAAAAACGACGACAGAGGAUAGAGGUGCACCUGUUGAGGGCGUUGCGCCUAGCCAAGAGGCGAGCGCCUUGCACACUUAAUCAACGCCUCUGUGAAGGGGCGGCUCCUGCAAUCAGGCGAAGCGCUGAAGGGUGAUGUCACAUCGUCUAGAGCCUAGGCGCACCUUUCACAACUAUGACCCUAUCCAACUCAACCAUACAAACCAUCUCAUCUUUUUUCCAUACAUAGUGAUGUUUGGAGGUCAUCUAAAAUAAAGAACAUAACAGGGACUAGAUGGUUGAUGAUCAUACUAGAAUUUCUUAGAUAUUUCUAAUGAAAAAAAAAUCAAAAAUUAGUCAAAUUUUCUAAAAGUGGACCAGAAUUUCUUUAUUGAAUUAAAAAGUUGAAAUUAAUAUUUUGGAAAAGUUAGGGCCGCUCAAGAGGUAGAAAUAGCGCUCGAGUGGUAGAAAUAGCGCUCGAGUGGUAGAAAUAGCCCUCAAGUGGUAGAAAUAGCGCUCAAGCGCUAGGACCGCUCAAGCACUUAACUAGCGCUUGAGCGCUCAUAUAGAAUCUGCCAGAAUAUGGAAGAAUAUUUUUUGGAUAAUCAUGAAAAUUGGAUUUGGAAACUUUAGAAUAUCAAUCUCCUUCGGCCUAGAGGUUUAUAUAAACCCUAUUAUAACCCUUUAGGGUUAAGAAAUUCACCAAGUGGUUUACCCUAACUUGUCAUACCAUUCCCGAUCUCUCAUCAAGGAAUCAAAGUGUUUAAUCUUGGGUUGUUUGAAGACCUGCAUCCCUUCAACAAGGCUAAGGUGUAUUCACUAGAACAAUUGAAAUUGUUGCAUUGCGGACAUGAAUCAAGUUGCAGGUUCUAGAGAGUAAGUCUUUAGAAUAAAGCAGACAAAGAGUUCUAUGUGACUUUAUCUCAUAUAGUGGAUUUAGCUUUGAGGUCUUAGACCUCGUGGGUUUUUAUCUCCAUAGUUAGUGUGGGGGUUUUCCACAUAAAAAUUAUUGUGUCUCUUGAUCUUAUGUUUGAUUUUAGAUAUUCUAUUUAUCCCUGAUAUCUCACAGGUUAACUUUAGGUUAAAAAUUCAACUCCCUAUUUAAUAAUUUUUAAAAUACACCCAUUCACGAGUGUUAUCCUACUGGACAUUGGUUUUUCACCAUAUAUAACACUCAUACCAAAACCCAUGCAACAUGGACUCCAACCUUAAGCUUAACUUUCUACGAAUGGAAAAAAAAAAAGACAUAACAUAAAUAGACAGAUUUAACAACAUGCUCCUAAUCAAGGUGAAUGUCCCUCUUUUUGAAAGAUAUGACCUUUUCCAUACGAGGAGCUUUCUUUAAAAUUUCACCUCUACCAAUUCCCAUGCCUUUACAAAGUUGUGGAAAGCUCCAAAGAGAAGGCCCAGACAUGUAAUGGGUAGAUUCCCUACCUUAGAACCUUACACCAAAGCUAAACCCCUAAUAUUUGUGACUUCUAUAAGAAUCAAUUCAUUUUUUUCCAUAUUUAUUUCUAAAUCAGACAUUGCCUCAAACCACAUGAAGUUAUAACUUGGAUGUUACAGAUGCUCUUAAUUAGUGUCACAAAAAAAUAGGGUAUCAUCAUCAAACAAGAAAUGUGACACUUCCAUCCCCUCCUCCUGUCUUCCUCCCACUUUGAAACUUGAGAUGUAACCCCUUUUAUCUAAUUCUCCUCAAAAUUCAAUUGAAAGCCUUCAUUGCCAAUAUGAAAAUGUAAGGGGAGAGAGGAUCUUUCUACCUCAAAUCCCUUGAGCUCUCAAAGAAACUGAAUAGGACACUAUUUACUAGAAUAGAGAAUUGAGUAGUGGAAAUGAACCAUUUGAUCCACCUCACCCACUUAUGAUCAAAGUCCAUUUUAUCCAACAUCAUUAACAAAAAGUUCCAAUUUACAUGGCCAUCGUCCUUUCCAAUGUCUAACUUGCAAAUUACCCCACUAUUGGGACUCUUUAACCUUGAAUCUAGAGCAUCAUUUAUGAUUAGAACUGCAUCUAGAAAUUGUCUGUCUUCCACAAAAGCAUGCAAAUAAACUAAAACUAUUUUACCCACCACAUUUUUUAGUCUUUUAGCCAAGACUUUUUCCAAUAGCUUGUACAAAAAAACCCCCAACUAAGCUAAUCAAUGUAAAAAAUUUUAGGUUCUCUGCUGCACCUAUAUUAGGGAUCAAGACCAAGAACAUGACAUUUAAAUUUUGCUCAAAGGAACAAUUAUCAAAAAACUCCCCAAGCUCAUUUGCCAAAAUAUUAUAAUAAAUCCAUUUGGCCCCUACAGCUUUAUCCCCACUCAAGCUAGACAAGGCAACAAGAAAUUCCUCAUCAAAGAAAGGUAACUCCAAUUUCCUAGAAUCAGCACAUAGCAUAACUUCAAAGGUCAUCCCAUUAAUGUUGAGUCUCCACUCGCCCAUAUCAGAUAGGAGAUUUUGGAAGGCCCUAAACUCCCCUUCCUUUAUAUUUGCUUCCCAAGCAACCAUUUUGCAUUCACUCAAAUUUUAAACAUGAAGUUUUUUAUUCUUUGGGCAUUGACCAUUUCAUGGAAAAUUUUGGUGUUUUUAUCCACCCCCUCUUUUAACCAAAUUUCUCUUUAUUUUUGCCCCCAUACAUAUAGAUUCUUCUAACAAGGCCCACUUGCUAAACUCAAUCACCACUAACCUUUGGCCUCAACGAUUUCAAGAGAUAAGGUAACUGCUCUCUACUUUGAGUCCCAGAAGUUGAUCCAGUUUAGCACCUCUAGGUUUUUUGUUGAGACAUUCCCAAAACCUUCUUCAUUCCAAGAUUUUAAAUCUCGUUUGACAGCCUUUAGUUUAACUUCCAAAAUAUGACCAUACAAGCCAUCCACAUUAUAACCAUCAACCAACUCCUCACAAAAUCUUUUAAGCCUUUUGUUUUAGGCUACAUAUUUUAAAAUGUAAACUGUGUUUUCCCACUCCUUAUCCUACCUCCAUCUAAAACUAUGGGGUAAUGACCAAAAAUUGGUUUAGGUAAAAUACUCUAGAUUAAAGUAGAAAAACGAUUCUACCAAUCAUCUGACACUAGGAAAUGGCCAAGCUAGCCUUGAAGAAGACAAAAGAUUAUGAACACCACUCCAAGUGAAUAGCCCUCCAACUAGCGAAAGAUCCCAAGGUCAAGUCCUCUAUGUCCUCUGAAAAGAACCUCAUAUCAAACAACAUUCUAAGGCAAUUCCUCCUUUUCAUGGGGAACUUGACCAUAUUAAAAUCCCCUCUGAAGCACUAGAGGUCAUCCCAAAGGCCUCUUAUGGCACCCAACUCUACCCAGAAAUCCACUCUUUCUCCCCUUUAAACCAACCCAUAAACUCUUACGUAUACCUAGACAAAGCUAUCUUCACAAUUCAUAGACAAGCAAUAGAGAAUGCUUCCACCUCCUUACCAAUUAACUCUAAUACCCUACUAUCUUGGAAAACCAAAAUGCCUACUAUCAAGCUUCUAACUUCCAAUACCAUUUCAAAAAUUUUCCUACUCCUAAACUCCUUACCAGUUGAACGAACAUCUAUCGAACCUUGGUUUCUUGUUAACAAACUAGAUCAACCCCUUGAGACCUUAUCAAUGACUUUAUUAUCAUAUACUUUUCCUCAUCAUUUGCUCAUUUGACAUUCCAAGACAGGAUUUUUAGCUUCAUCAUGCAACCUAUGUUGGAUCCUAACUGCUACUCUUGGAGCCCUUUUCCUUUUUGUUGAGCUUUUAUAAUUGACUAAGCAUCCCAACUUGUUGAGGUCCCUCUCAAACCAAGAUAUCGAGGUUAACUUCCUCUUCACCUCCAACGAAAAAACAGAAACCCCUCUCCUUAGCCUGCCACACAAGGGAAAAGAUCUCUUUUUCAAAUCCAUCAACUGGCAUUCUUGAGAAACUAUUGAAAUUUGCCAACUUACAAGAUAUACAAUUGGAGGAGUGCUUCUCUACCAAACAACUACUAAAAUUCACCUCAAAGGUGACCUUUUCCCCUGAUCUCUCCCCGGCCUCCAUACCCACUGACCCUUUCACAAAAUUUUCUAGAAUUUCCACUAUCAAGCCGUUACGGAGAACCAUCCUCAACAAACUCCUUUGACUAAUGUGAAAAACCCCACCCAAGAGCAUCUUCCAGAAGUUAACUUACAAGAUUAACUAUAAUCUUGUGAAGACUCGUUACCUAAUGGGUAAAAAAUUUGAAAUUCUAUUAGUAUAAUUCUUUUUAGGCACAAAAGCUGUGAAAAUAGCAUUGGUGCUCUAAUUAAUAACCCCAUAAUUAUUAAGCAAUAAAACAACUUUUAAUAAAUUCUCUUUCACCACAUCCCACCAAUCCUAAUGCAAAAAAGCUAGGAAAAAGUCAUCAUUGCUCUAAGCAUUUCUCCUCACUAGUUGAAAGACUGCUUUAUGAACUUCCUCUUCGACAAAAGGACAAUCCAACCAAUUAGCACCAUUUUCCAAAAUGAGAGACCAACCCCCACUCUUCUAUCCUCUAAGGAUCUUCAUAUAACCAUUAAUGCCUUUCUAUACCAGCUAGUAUAUAUCGGGUUUUGGGCAAGUCCUAUAAAUUGGUUUGAGUAAGAUUUUUAAUUACCCUGUUCUUUCUUUUUAGUUGAUAAAUAUGCAUAUAUGUAGUAAUUCAUACAUCAGAAAAGAUUUUGCUAAAACAAAAGAAUUGACAUGCAGAUAGUGACUUCUUGAUAAGAGUAAUAGCUUAAGGGAGGAAAAUGAACUCCUCCAGUGGCCCCAAAGUGGUAAGUUCCUUCAGAUCCCAUGUUGCUAUUCUGCAUUUCUUUGUGUUUUGGCAUCAGCCCUCUUAAUUAAUUCACUAUCCAGCUUCUCAAAUUCCUCGGAUUCUUCCCUUGUUCUUGUGGAAACAUCUGCAUCUUGUCCUUGCAUUGUUAUGGAUUGGUGAUUAUCAUUCUUUGAGAACUGUGUGGCAGCUGCUCGUGCACCAGCUAUGGCUGCAAGGAGACCUUCUGGUUUCUUGUCUUCAGCAGCUUUGGAGCCAUCAAAGCAAGAAACAAGUAAUCCUGGUUUCAAAGAGAGGGGAUCUUGUGGUUCUGGAAGCAGAAACUUGACAGGUAGUGGAGCUUGAACAGGACGAAGACCCCUAACUGCUGCCUCAUAUAUCUGCAACAAUUUCAGGGGGGAUAAGUAAUUAAAAAUCAGUCACUCUAUUGCAUUAGUUAGACUUGCUUUCAAUGCGAUAGCAAAGAAAGAAUCAUCAAUGAAAAAAGAAAAAAUAAAUGAAAAAGAACAAAAAGGAGAGGGAAAAAAAAAUGAUGGGUGCUCAAUUUGUACUUUUCUUUCCAGGUUAUAAAUACGUUGGUACCCGCGCAUCUCAAAUGGUAUGAUUAAUUUCUGCAUCAGGUCAGGAGAACUAAGUCCAUCAAUAUACUAAAAAGCAAAUAUACCAAAAGGCAAGCAAAAAUGUUUAACCAUCUUGAGUGUCAAACUCUCCAAGAAACUAUAUACUUUUAGCUGAAUGAAAACACAUGCCUGUGGUUGCUCACAGAGCCAGCAAAACUCUGUUUGCGCUUCUAGCCUUACCUACAAAUAGAGUUUAGGUUAUCCAACCAAAAUGGAGAUACAUCACACAAAACAAACUGUACCUAAUCAGUUUACGAAGGGGACGGGGGGAAGCAAAAAGCAAAAGUAAAUUUCUAAGAUGCCCACCCCUUCAGGUACCUCCUUCCAGCACGCCAGCUCUUCACAUUUAACACAACCAACUACUUCAAUACAACCUGUGGCAAGAAUAGAGUUUGUUGGAUUUAUUGUAGCAUGCCAUACAGAAAAAUUUAGCAUUUCAGUAAGAAUAAGAAUAAGAGAGCUACUUUCCACUAAAAUACGAAUCACCCAUCAACUGUUGCAAACAGACAACAAUGUGAAUAACAGGUUUUAUAUAUAUAUAUAUAGAGAGAGAGAGAGAGAGAGAGAGAGAGAGAGAUAGAUAGAUAUAGAGAGAGAGAGAGAGUCAAAUAAUAAUAAAGGACAAAAAUAUUUCUUUGAGAAAGACUAAUUAGAAAGAAGAAACAAAGAACCCACAUGAAAUCAAUUUAGAUAAGAGAAAUACCUUUAAGAAUCUAGUUCUUUUUGCAAAUUGCAACUUAGAAUUGGAAUGCCACAUAUUAUUAUAAGGUAUCACAAGAGAUUAUUGCUUCAUUUUUUUUCUUUGCCAGAUCAGUUUUAAUAAAUAUAAAUAUAAAAAUAUAAGCAUGUACACACACACACGCAAACACAUUAUGUGUGUAUGUUUAUGGAUAUGUAGAUAUAGGUUUUUAAUAAUAGAGCAUGAAAACAUAUCUAGUCAGAAAUUCCAAAAAUCCAAAACCAUUAGCAACACCUAACAGUCUUGAAACUGGGUAAUGUUCUGGAAACUUGAGGUCUGCUAUCCCAUUCACAGCAUAGAUCUCCCUGUAGAAAUUCUCCAUUGCUUUGAUUGUGUCUGAAUCUGGGACCUUACUAGCAGCAUGAAUCCAGAGUCGGCCUUCAUAAAACAAAACAUGUAUAUUAAGAAAUAUCCUUGUAGAACAGUAACAUUUUUGCCAGCAUGCAAUUCGUGUUAAUAAUCCUUGGUUCUCACCACUCAUUGUACAUUACAAUGUAAAGACCUAAUAAGCCCUAAUAUAGGUAGGUGUCUGUGCAGAGAGAGAGAGAGAGAGAGGGGAGGGGGGUGAAAGGAAAGAUGAUUAUAGAACAAAUACAAGUUGAAUCUCCUGAAAUAAUGUCCAUCAAGUUAUUUCCUAGCAACAAGUACUGAUUAUGCUUUUCCUGAUAACAUGAUUUUCUUUGCUAACAACCAUACUAUAUUUUAUCAAGAAAGAGUAGUGCAUGUGGCGUGCAUCAAGACCCAUUAGAGUUCCGCUAAACCUAUAGUUCUGUCAACGUUAUCAUUUACGUUUCCUCUAGAUAAUGGCAUUUUCCUCUAAAACUCUUGCACCAUUAGGCUUCAAGUCAAAAUUUCACAUGUGAACUUUGGAAAUUUUCUCCAUUUGCCCCUAAGGAUACAGUUAGAAUUGACUUAAAAUCCUGAUUGAUGUAUACUUUUAACCGAAGAAUAUUGUAUAUAAUAAUUGAAAUAUUGUUGAUUCAUCGUGGAAAUACAUUUUGUAAGGAAAGUUGUUAAGAAUUUAGUAUGCUAUAUGGAGAAAAAAGUCAUGACUUAAGGUUGAGUAUGUAUAUUCUAUAUCAAAUAUUAGGUAGGAAUGUGGAAAAGAGCAGAGUGUAAUUAUAAGAAACAAAGAAAUAUAAGAUAUUCUUGAAAGUGGAAAAUGUAAAAUGGCUAAAAGUCAAAUUUAUGAUGCAUAAGGGGGAUCAUGUCACAUAAGAAACUCAUGGCAUACCAAAUACGUGUGGUAUGGAGUAACAAUUUUGUUAAAAUAAGUUUCUCGUUGGAGUACAUUAGGUGACAAUUUUUUAAUAUCAAAUUAAAGAGUCAAGUGCAUCAAUGAAGUCAUAUGUAGAAAAUUUGUUUGUGACAUGUACCAUAAAGAUAAGAUUGACUUGAUAUAAUUUAGUCCAGGUAGGAGUUGUUAAAGGUGUCUCAAAUUUCUAAUUGAUAUAUAUUUUUUUCUAAAAAAAUAUUAUAUAGAUAUUUCAAUAAAUGAUUAAUUCUUUGUAAAAAUACUUACAUAAUAAAAAACAUCAUUAGAAAUAUCUCUAUAAAUAUUUUAAAUCACAAAAAGAAAAAAAAAAUCACUAUGAGAUAAUUAUAAACAUGCAACAUUGUACCAAGUAAACAGAAAUGUGAUAAAAAAAUUUUGAGAAACACUAAAUAAAGGAAGGGCUUGUAUAUCAAGAUGUAAAUAUAGAGAGCAAUAUUUUUAAUCAUAUGAUAGAAUUAUUUUCUCUCAUUCAUGAUUAUAAGCAAAAUUGGGAACCAUUAUAAAAUCUUGUACACCUCGUGUAAAUUGAUGUUUGUCUUCAUAUUUUACACCAACAAAUGACAUUGAAGUUGUCAUUGAUAAAAGGGAAAAGGCAUGGCCUCCACACCAUGUGCUUGAAUCGUAUGGUUCAAGUUUAAAGAAUUUUCUCCAUAAUUUGAAGAUCUAAAACAUUUUCACCUUUAAAUUUCAUUUAAUUAUUAAUAUCUACAAAAAAUAGUUAAAUACUCUUUCUAUUUUUGAGUUGUUGAAUUUUUUGAAAGUUUUUAUAUUUGUUAUCAAGAAUUUAUAUUUUAUUAAGUGUGAAUAUUUAUAAAUAAGAUAUUAUAUAAUAUUUGGAUAAGAGAGAAUGGUGGAAUAUAAUAAAGUUUUAAUCCUUCCCAAUUUUUAUCUUUUUUUUUUUUUUUUUUUAUAAUCGCCUUUCUCUUUCAAUCCUAUUAUCAGGUACCUUAUAUUUGCUGAUGCUAUCUGGAACUAAAUUCCAAUCAGACAUUGUCCAAUUACUAAUAGGACAGAUCAUGUCUCUCUGUUUCUAAACUAACAUGUAUCGUAAUGUGGCCUCAUAAGGAAGGCUAGGAAGAUGGAGGAUUUUGUGGGAAGCGACCAGAAUCAGAUGGAAGAGAGAUAGCCCUGUUGACCUAAUGGCUGUAAUAGGAGAAGCGUGUGGAUUUAUGGGACUUAACUGAUACUAAACCUAUAUGAUGCUUGGAGUGGUGUUUCUUUCAUUUUGUUAAGAAAAUAUGGCAGCAUACAUCCUUUCAAUUGAGUGCAUCAGAGCAUCCAUAAUAGAUGGUCUGCAACCCUAGGUGCAUGCCACUUUCUGACUGAUAAUGAAACUGUCAGGUACUUGGCCUUGACUAAGCUCAACAGCAUCACAUAAAAAGAAGCUUUCAUACUUAGAUUACUGUUUAAAGCUUUUGCUUAUUUGCUUUCUUAAUGCCAUUAUGACAUUAUUGUUUCAAUUCUGCUACCGAUUUUCGAAGUUCUGGGCAUCUACUGAUUGCAUCAUUAUAUGAGAAGUUGCAUGAGUUUAUGUAUCCUGUUAUUGCUCCUUUGCGAUUUCACUGCUCACGGGACUAACCUCUCCAUUCAGUCGAAAUGAAUUGUAAUUUCUUUACUGGUAGCAGUAGUACUUUUCAUAGCAAAGAUAAUAGUAAAUAUGAAAUAUAAAUAGAAGGAAAUCUGAAUUGUAGAUGGCACUAUAAGUAACACUCAAUAUUCACUACAUAAUAAAAUAGACAGUGUUACAAAGGUAGAGAAACCUACAAUGAGUACUCAUCACCAUUCUCAAACAGAAACAUAGCAGCGACUUAUACAUAGAACCUAUAGGCUUGCAGGGAAAGAAGGGAAAGAGUAACAUGAUAAGUUCACAGCGGGUAGCAGCUCUUAUUUUACGUAUUACUCAAAAUCUCAAACUAACCAAAGUCACUCAGUUGGGAUGGGUAGGAGAUGGUGGUUUGUGGGGUGGCUUCUGGGUAGGAGCUGGUGGCUUCUUUGUUGGAGUUGAAGGAGGCGUAAUCUUCUGAGGUGGCUUGUAUGAGUCUUCGGCACUCUCUGCAGGAGGGUGCCCAGGGUUGUGACCGGAAGGAGGUGGCUUCUGUCCCUUUGGUGGUUUGCCUAAUGGGCUUGGUGGCUUGUGCUCCGGGAGUUGUUUCUCUCCCUCGAGUAGGUUUCGAGUUUUGUCAGAUGGCUUGUGUUCUGGUGGUGGCUUCUCUCCCUGGGGUGGUUUGCCGAAUGGGCUUGGUGGCUUGUGUUCGGGGAGUGGCUUCUCUCCCUGGAGAAGGUUACGAGUUUUGUCAGAUGGCUUUUGUUCUGGUGGUGGCUUCUCUCCCUGGGGUGGUUUGCCAAAUGGGCUUGGUGGCUUGUGUUCGGGAACUGGCUUCUCUCCCUUGGGAGGUUCAUUUGGUGGCUGGUGUUCCGUAGGUGGUUCCUUCACCGGCGGCUUGUGCUCCGGAAGCGGCUUCUCUACCUGGAGAAGCUUACGAGUUUUGUCAGAUGGCUUGUGUUGUGGUGGGGGCUUCUCUCCCUGGGGUGGUUUGCCAAACGGACUUGGUGGCUUGUGUUCGGGGAGUGGCUUCUCUCCAUUGGGAGGUUUAAUUGGUGGUUGGUGUUCCGUAGGUGGUUUCUGAAGUGGGGGAUGCUUGGGGUAGUCAGCAAGAGACGAGGUAGUGAGAACCACCA